Molecule: long non-coding RNA, 59467 nt
Filed under: Triticum aestivum (bread wheat)
Lineage: Eukaryota; Viridiplantae; Streptophyta; Magnoliopsida; Poales; Poaceae
Description: long non-coding RNA (TAES_LNC010818)
Source: RNAcentral
AAGGAGAAUCCUUCCCUGCUUGGACCCUCCGGCCUCCCCGGUUGGGGCGGCCUUCCUUUUGUUGUCUCCCCCAGUCGGUGGGGGAGCAUCUUCUUCUUCUUCUUCUUCUUCUUCUUCUUCUUCUUCUUCUUCUUCUUCCUCGUCUUCGAGGGAAGAGAGCGCCGCAGAGUCAUCAGAUGGUGAGUCCGACGACGCGUGGCACCGAGAACUCUUUCGGGUUCCCUUGGCCUUCUUGGUCUUCUCCGACACCUUAUAAGGGGCUGGAGUCAGUAUCUUCGCUAGAAGAGCGUCUGCAAGGCCUUCGGGCAAAGGAGCCGGACAGUCGAUCUGUCCGGCCAUCUUCCGCCAGUCCUGUCAAAGGUACGGGAGUUUAGAUCCCGCAUGGAGUCAAUCUAUAUAAAAAAUAAUUAUCCUGUGAAAGGUAAAACAGCUUACCGCACUGGCUUGGCGCUUCACGCUGAAUCCGCGAUCCUCAGUAAUAGGGGGGGACCUCGGCACUUUUGAACAGCACCCUCCAGGCGUCUUCAUGAGUUGUGUCGAAGAGCCUGUUCAGAGUUCGGUGCUGCACCGGAUUGAACUCCCACAAGUUGAACUCCCGUUGUUGGCACGGGAGUAUCCGUCGGAUGAGCAUAACUUGGACUAUGUUGACAAGCUUCAGCUUCUUGUCCACCAUGUUUUGAAUACAUGUUUGGAGUCCGGUCAGCUCUUUCAAACUACCCCAGGACAGGCCCUUCUCUUUCCAGGAGGUGAGCCGCGUGGGGAAGCCAGAUCGGAACUCGGGGGCCGCUGCGCAUGCAGGGUCGCGCGGCUCGGUGAUAUAGAACCACCCCGAUUGCCACCCCUUUAUGGUUUCCACAAAGGAGCCCUCGAGCCAUGUUAUGUUGGGCAUCUUGCCCACCAUGGCGCCUCCGCACUCCGCCUGGCGGCCACCCACCACCUUCGGCUUGACAUUGAAGGUCUUCAGCCAUAAGCCAAAGUUGGGCUUGAUGCGAAGGAAGGCCUCGCACACGAUGAUAAACGCCGAGAUGUUGAGGAUGAAGUUCGGGAUCAGAUCGUGGAAAUCCAGGACGUAAUAAAACAUGAGCCCUCGGACAAAGGGAUGGAGACGGUGUUGGAAAUGCCCUAGAGGCAAUAAUAAAAUGAUUAUUAUAUUUCCUUGUUCAUGAUAAUUGUCUAUUAUUCAUGCUAUAAUAGUAUUAUCCGGAAAUCGUAAUACAUGUGUGAAUACAUAGACCACAAUGUGUCCCUAGUGAGCCUCUAGUUGACUAGCUCGUUGAUCAACAGAUAGUCAUGGUUUCCUAGCUAUGGACAUGGGGAUGUCAUUGAUAACAUGAUCACAUCAUUAGGAGAAUGAUGUGAUGGACAAGACCCAAACCUAAGCAUAGCACAAAGAUCGUGUAGUUCGUUUGCUGUAGCUUUUCUGAAUGUCAAGUAUCAUUUCCUUAGACCAUGAGAUUGUGCAACUCCUGGAUACCGUAGGAGUGCCUUGGGUGUGCCAAACGUCACAACGUAACUGGGUGACUAUAAAGGUACAUUACAAGUGUCCCCGAAAGUGUCUGUUGGGUUGGCACGAAUCGAGACUGGGAUUUGUCACUCCGUACGAGAGGUAUCUCUGGGCCCACUCGGUAAUGCAUCAUCAUAAUGAGCUCAAUGUGAUCAAGUGGUUGAUCACGGGAUCAUGCAUUACGGUACGAGUAAAGUGACUUGCCGGUAACGAGACUGAACAAGGUAUUGGGAUACCGACGAUCGAGUCUCGGCCAAGUAACGUACCAAUUGACAAAGGGAAUUGUAUACAGAUUGAUUAAGUCCUCAACAUCAUGGUUCAUCCGAUGAGAUCAUCGAGGAGCAUGUGGGAGCCAACAUGGGUAUCCAGAUCCCGCUAUUGGUUAUUGACCGGAGAGUCGUCUCGGUCAUGUUUGCUUGUCUCCCGAACCCAUAGGGUCUACACACUUAAGGUUCAGUGAUGCUAGGGUUGUAGAGAUAUUAGUAUGCAGCAACCCGAAAGUUGUUCGGAGUCCCGGAUGAGAUCCCGGACGUCACUAGGAGUUCCGGAAUGGUCCGGAGGUGAAGAAUUAUAUAUAGGAAGUGCAGUUUCGGCCAUCGGGAAGGAUUCAGAGUCACCGGUAUUGUACCGGGACCACCCGAUGGGUCCCGGGGGUCCACCGGGUGGGGCCACCCAUCCCGGAGGGCCCCGUGGGCUGAAGUGGGGAGGGAACCAGCCCCUAAUGGGCUGGUGCGCCCCCCUUGGGCCCCCCCUGCGCCUAGGGUUGGAAACCCUAGGGUGGGGGGCGCCUCCACUUGCCUUGGGGGGCAAGCCUCCCCCUUGGCCGCCCCCCCAGGAGAUCCCAUCUCCUUGGGCCGGCGCCCCCCAGGGGGCCUAUAUAAAGGGGGGGGAGGGAGGGCAGCCACACAAAAGCCUUGGCGCCUCCCUCUCCCCUGAUACACCUCUCCCUCUCGCAGAAGCUCGGCGAAGCCCUGCUGCAAUCAGUGCUACAUCCACCACCACGCCGUCGUGCUGCUGGAUGUUCAUCAACCUCUCCUUCCCCCUUGCUGGAUCAAGAAGGAGGAGAUGUCAUCCGCUCCGUACGUGUAUUGAACGCGGAGGUGCCGUCCGUUCGGCACUUGGUCAUCGGUGAUUUGGAUCACGGCGAGUACGACUCCAUCAUCCCCGUUCUCUUGAACGCUUCCGCUCGCGAUCUACAAGGGUAUGUAGAUGCACUCUCCUCUCGUUGCUAGUUGACUCCAUAGAUUGAUCUUGGUGAAACGUAGGAAUUUUUUUUGUUUUCUGCAACGUUCCCCAACAGUGGCAUCAUGAGCUAGGUCUAUGCAUAGUUACUAUGCACGAGUAGAACACAAAGUAGUUGUGGGCGUCGAUAUUGUCAAUUUGCUUGCCGUUACUAGUCUUAUCUUGAUUCGGCGGCAUCGUGGGAUGAAGCGGCCUGGACCAACCUUACACGUACGCUUACAUGAGACCGGUUCCACCGACUGACAUGCACUAGUUGCAUAAGGUGUCUGGCGGGUGUCUGUCUCUCCCACUUUAGUCGGAUCGGAUUCGAUGAACAGGGUCCUUAUGAAGGGUAAAUAGAAAUUGGCAAUUCACGUUGUGGUUUUGGCGUAGGUAAGAAACGUUCUUGCUAGAAACCUAUAGCAGCCACGUAAAAACUUGCAACAACAAUUAGAGGACGUCUAACUUGUUUUUGCAGCAAGUGUUUUGUGAUGUGAUAUGGCCAAAGGUUGUGAUGAAUGAUGAAUGAUAUAUGUGAUGUAUGAGAUUGAUCAUGUUCUUGUAAUAGGAAUCACGACUUGCAUGUCAAUGAGUAUGACAACCGGCAGGAGCCAUAGGAGUUGUCUUUAUUUUUUGUAUGACCUGCGUGUCAUUGAGAAACGCCAUGUAAAUUACUUUACUUUAUUGCUAAACGUGUUAGCCAUAGUAGUAGAAGUAAUAGUUGGCGAGCAACUUCAUGGAGACACGAUGAUGGAGAUCAUGAUGAUGGAGAUCAUGGUGUCAUGCCGGUGACAAGAUGAUCAUGGAGCCCCAGGAUGGAGAUCAAAGGAGCUAUAUGAUAUUGGCCAUAUCAUGUCACUAUUAUUUGAUUGCAUGUGAUGUUUAUCAUGUUUUUGCAUCUUGUUUACUUAGAACGAUGGUAGUAAAUAAGAUGACCCCUCAUAAUAAUUUCAAGAAAGUGUUCCCCCUAACUGUGCGCCGUUGCGACAAUUCGUUGUUUCGAAGCACCACGUGAUGAUCGGGUGUGAUAGAUUCCAACGUUCACAUACAACGGGUGUAAGACAAAUUUACACACGCAAUACACUUAGGUUGACUUGACGAGCCUAGCAUGUACAGACAUGGCCUCGGAACACAGAAGACCGAAAGGUUGAGCAUGAGUCGUAUAGAAGAUACGAUCAACAUGAAGAUGUUCACCGAUGUUGACUAGUCCGUCUCACGUGAUGAUCGGACACGACCUAGUCAACUCGGAUCAUGUUAUACUUAGAUGACUGGAGGGAUGUCUAUCUAAGUGGGAGUUCAUUGAAUAAUUUGAUUAGAUGAACUUAAUUAUCAUGAACUUAGUCUAAAAUCUUUACAAUAUGUCUUGUAGAUCAAAUGGCCAACGUUGUCCUCAACUUCCAUGCGUUCCUAGAGAAAACCAAGCUGAAAGACGAUGGAAAUAACUAUACAGACUGGGUCCGGAACCUGAGGAUCAUCCUCAUAGCUGCCAAGAAAGAUUAUGUCCUAGAAGCACCGCUAGGUGACGCACCCGUCCCACAGAACCAAGACGUUAUGAACGCUUGGCAGACACGUGCUGAUGAUUACUCCCUCGUUUAGUGCGGCAUGCUUUACAGCUUAGAACCGGGGCUCCAAAAGCGUUUUGAGCGACACGGAGCAUAUGAGAUGUUCGAAGAGCUGAAAAUGGUUUUCCAAGCUCAUGCCCGGGUCGAGAGAUAUGAAGUCUCCGACAAGUUCUUCAGCUGUAAGAUGGAGGAAAAUAGUUCUGUCAGUGAGCACAUACUCAAAAUGUCUGGGUUGCAUAACCGCUUGACUCAGCUGGGAGUUAAUCUCCCGGAUGACGCGGUCAUUGACAGAAUCCUUCAGUCGCUUCCACCAAGCUACAAGAGCUUUGUGAUGAAAUUCAAUAUGCAGGGGAUGGAAAAGACCAUUCCUGAAGUAUUUGCAAUGCUGAAAUCAGCAGAGGUAGAAGUCAAAAAGGAACAUCAAGUGUUGAUGGUGAAUAAAAUCACUAAGUUCAAGAAAGGCAAGGGUAAGAAGAACCUCAAGAAGGACGGCAAGGGAGUUGCCGCACCCGGUAAGCAAGCUGUCGGGAAGAAGCCAAAGAAUGGACCCAAGCCCGAGACUGAGUGCUUUUAUUGCAAGGGAAGUGGUCACUGGAAGCAGAACUGCCCCAAAUACUUAGCGGAUAAGAAGGCCGACAUCAGAAAAGGUAUAUGUGAUAUACAUGUAAUUGAUGUGUACCUUACCAGUACUCGUAGUAGCUGCUGGGUAUUUGAUACCGGUGCGGUUGCUCACAUUUGUAACUCAAAGCAGGAGCUGCGGAAUAAGCGGAGACUGGCGAAGGACGAGGUGACGAUGCGCGUCGGGAAUGGUUCCAAGGUCGAUGUGAUCGCCGUCGGCACGCUACCUCUACAUUUACCUACGAGAUUAGUUUUAAACCUCAAUAAUUGUUAUUUAGUGCCAGCUUUGAGCAUGAACAUUGUAUCAGGAUCUCGUUUAAUACGAGAUGGCUACUCAUUUAAAUCCGAGAAUAAUGGUUGUUCUAUUUAUAUGAGAGAUAUGUUUUAUGGUCAUGCUCCGAUGGUGAAUGGUUUAUUCUUAAUGAAUCUCGAGCGUAAUGCUACACAUAUUCAUAGUGUGAAUACCAAAAGAUGUAAGGUUGAUAAUGAUAGUCCCACAUACUUGUGGCACUGUCACCUUGGUCACAUAGGUGUCAAACGCAUGAAGAAGCUCCAUGCAGAUGGACUUUUAGAGUCUCUUUAUUACAAAUCAUUUGACACGUGCGAACCAUGCCUCAUGGGUAAAAUGACCAAGACUCCAUUCUCAGGAACAAUGGAGCGAGCAACCAACUUAUUGGAAAUCAUACAUACUGAUGUGUGCGGUCCAAUGACUGUUGAGGCUCGCGGUGGCUAUCAUUAUGUUCUCACCCUCACUGAUGACUUGAGUAGAUAUGGGUAUGUCUACUUAAUGAAACACAAGUCUGAGACCUUUGAAAAGUUCAAGGAAUUUUAGAGUGAGGUUGAGAAUCAACGUGACAGGAAAAUCAAGUUCUUGCGAUCAGAUCGUGGGGGAGAAUACUUGAGUCACAAAUUUGGCACACACUUAAGAAAAUGUGGAAUAGUUUCACAACUCACGCCGCCUGGAACACCUCAGCGUAAUGGUGUGUCCGAACGUCGUAAUCGCACUCUAUUAGAUAUGGUGCGAUCUAUGAUGUCUCUUACCGAUUUACCGCUAUCAUUUUGGGGCUAUGCUUUAGAGACUGCCACAUUCACUUUAAAUAGGGCUCCGUCAAAAUCCAUUGAGAUGACACCGUAUGAAUUAUGGUUUGGGAAGAAACCUAAGCUGUCGUUUCUAAAAGUUUGGGGAUGCGAUGCUUAUGUCAAGAAACUUCAACCUGAAAAGCUCGAACCCAAGUCGGAAAAAUGCGUCUUCAUAGGAUACCCUAAAGAAACUGUUGGGUAUACCUUCUACCUCAGAUCCGAAGGCAAGAUCUUUGUUGCCAAGAAUGGGUCCUUUCUAGAGAAAGAGUUUCUCUCGAAAGAAAUAAGUGGGAGGAAGGUAGAACUUGAUGAAGUAUUACCUCUUGAACCGGUAAGUGGCGCAGCUCAAGAAAAUGUUCCUGAGGUGCCUGCACCGACUAGAGAGGAAGUUGAUGAUGAUGAUCAUGAAACUUCAGAUCAAGUUGCUACUGAACUUCGUAGGUCCACAAGGACACGUUCCGCACCAGAGUGGUACGACAACCCUGUCUUGGAAAUCAUGUUGUUAGACAACGGUGAACCUUCGAACUAUGAAGAAGUGAUGGCGGGCCCGGAUUCCGACCAAUUGCUGGAAGCCAUGAAAUCCGAGAUAGGAUCCAUGUAUGAAAAUGAAGUAUGGACUUUGACUGACUUGCCAGUUGAUCGGCGAGCCAUAGAAAAUAAAUGGAUCUUUAAGAAGAAGACAGACGCGGAUGGUAAUGUGACCAUCUAUAAAGCUCGGCUUGUCGCUAAGGGUUAUUGACAAGUUCAAGGGGUUGACUACGAUGAGACUUUCUCACCCGUAGCGAAGUUGAAGUCCGUCCGAAUGAUGUUAGCAAUUGCCGCAUUCUAUGAUUAUGAGAUAUGGCAAAUGGACGUCAAAACAGCAUUCCUUAAUGGUUUCCUUAAGGAAGAAUUGUAUAUGAUGCAGCCGGAAGGUUUUGUCGAUCCUAAGAAUGCUGACAAGGUGUGCAAGCUCCAACGCUCAAUUUAUGGGAUGGUGCAAGCAUCUCGGAGUUGGAACAUUCACUUUGAUGAGAUGAUCAAAGCGUUUGGAUUUAUGCAGACUUAUGGAGAAGCCUGCAUUUACAAGAAAGUGAGUGGGAGCUCUGUAGCAUUUCUCAUAUUGUAUGUGGAUGACAUACUGUUGAUGGGAAAUGAUAUAGAAUUCUUGGAAAGCAUAAAGGCCUAUUUGAACAAGUGUUUUUCAAUGAAGGACCUUGGAGAAGCUGCUUAUAUAUUAGGCAUCAAGAUCUAUAGAGAUAGAUCGAGACGCCUCAUUGGUCUUUCACAGAGUACGUACCUUGACAAGAUAUUGAAGAAGUUCAAAAUGGAUCAGUCAAAGAAGGGGUUCUUGCCUGUAUUGCAAGGUACGAGAUUGAGCUUGGAUCAAUGCCCGACCACGGCAGAAGAUAGAGAAAAGAUGAGUGUCGUCCCCUAUGCCUCGGCCAUAGGGUCUAUCAUAUAUGCUAUGCUGUGUACCAGACCUGAUAUAAACCUUGCCGUGAGUUUGGUAGGAAGGUACCAAAGUAAUCCCGGCAUGGAACACUGGACAGCGGUCAAGAAUAUCCUAAAGUACCUGAAAAGGACCAAGGAAAUGUUUCUCGUUUAUGGAGGUGACGAAGAGCUCGUCGUAAAGGGUUACGUCGAUGCUAUCUUCGACACAGAUCUGUAUGACUCUAAGUCACAAACCGGAUACGUGUAUAUUUUAAAUGGUGGGGCAGUAAGCUGGUGCAGUUGCAAGCAAAGCGUUGUGGCGGGAUCUACAUGUGAAGCGGAGUACAUGGCAGCCUCGGAGGCAGCACACGAAGCAGUCUGGGUGAAGGAGUUCAUUACCGACCUAGGAGUCAUACCCAAUGCGUCGGGCCCGAUGACUCUCAUCUGUGACAACACUGGAGCUAUUGCCCUUGCCAAGGAGCCCAGGUUUCAUAGGAAGACCAGGCAUAUCAAGCGUCGCUUCAACUCCAUUCGUGAAAGUGUUCAAAAUGGAGACAUAGAGAUUUGUAAAGUACAUACGGACCUGAAUGUAGCAGAUCCGUUGACUAAACCUCUCCCUAGAGCAAAACAUGAUCAACACCAGAAUUCCAUGGGUGUUAGAUUCAUCACAAUGUAACUAGAUGAUUGACUCUAGUGCAAGUGGGAGACUGUUGGAAAUAUGCCCUAGAGGCAAUAAUAAAAUGAUUAUUAUAUUUCCUUGUUCAUGAUAAUUGUCUAUUAUUCAUGCUAUAAUUGUAUUAUCCGGAAAUCGUAAUACAUGUGUGAAUACAUAGACCACAAUGUGUCCCUAGUGAGCCUCUAGUUGGCUAGCUCGUUGAUCAACAGAUAGUCAUGGUUUCCUGGCUAUGGACAUGGGGAUGUCAUUGAUAACGGGAUCACAUCAUUAGGAGAAUGAUGUGAUGGACAAGACCCAAACCUAAGCAUAGCACAAAGAUCGUGUAGUUCGUUUGCUGUAGCUUUUCUGAAUGUCAAGUAUCAUUUCCUUAGACCAUGAGAUUGUGCAACUCCCGGAUACCGUAGGAGUGCCUUGGGUGUGCCAAACGUCACAACGUAACUGGGUGACUAUAAAGGUACAUUACAGGUGUCUCCGAAAGUGUCUGUUGGGUUGGCACGAAUCGAGACUGGGAUUUGUCACUCCGUAUGACGGAGAGGUAUCUCUGGGCCCACUCAGUAAUGCAUCAUCAUAAUGAGCUCAAUGUGAUCAAGUGGUUGAUCACGGGAUCAUGCAUUACGGUACGAGUAAAGUGAUUUCCGGUAACGAGACUGAACAAGGUAUUGGGAUACCGAUGAUCGAGUCUCGGGCAAGUAAUGUACCGAUUGACAAAGGGAAUUGUAUACGGAUUGAUUAAGUCCUCGACAUCAUGGUUAAUCCGAUGAGAUCAUCGAGGAGCAUGUGGGAGCCAACAUGGGUAUCCAGAUCCCGCUGUUGGUUAUUGACCGGAGAGUCGUCUCGAUCAUGUCUGCUUGUCUCCCGAACCCGUAGGGUCUACACACUUAAGGUUCGGUGACGCUAGGGUUGUAGAGAUAUUAGUAUGCAGCAACCCGAAAGUUGUUCGGAGUCCCGGAUGAGAUCCCGAACAUCACGAGGAGUUCCGGAAUGGUCCGGAGGUGAAGAAUUAUAUAUAGGAAGUGCAGUUUCGGCCAUCGGGAAGGAUCCGGAGUCACCGGUAUUGUACCGGGACCACCGGAUGGGUCCCGGGGGUCCACCGGGUGGGGCCACCCAUCCCGGAGGGCCCCGUGGGCUGAAUUGGGGAGGGAACCAGCCCCUAGUGGGCUGGUGCGCCCCCCUUGCCCCCCCCUGCACCUAGGGUUGGAAACCCUAUGGUGGGGGGCGCCUCCACUUGCCUUGGGGGGCAAGCCUCCCCCUUGGUCGCCGCCCCCCCAAGGAGAUCCCAUCUCCUAGGGCCGGCACCCCCCAGGGGGCCUAUAUAAAGGGGGGAGGGAGGGCAGCCACACAAAAAGCCUUGGUGCCUCCCUCUCCCCUGCUACACCUCUCCCUCUCGCAGAAGCUCGGCGAAGCCCUGCUGCGAUCACUGCUGCAUCCACCACCACGCCGUCGUGCUGCUGGAUCUUCAUCAACCUCUCCUUCCCCCUUGCUGGAUCAAGAAGGAGGAGACGUCAUCCGCUCCGUACUUGUGUUGAACGCGGAGGUGCCGUCCGUUCGGCGCUUGGUCAUCGGUGAUUUGGAUCACGGCGAGUACGACUCCAUCAUCCCCGUUCUCUUGAACGCUUCCGCUCGCGAUCUACAAGGGUAUGUAGAUGCACUCUCCUCUUGUUGCUAGUUGACUCCAUAGAUUGAUCUUGGUGAAACGUAGGAAUUUUUUUUGUUUUCUGCAACGUUCCCCAACGGACGGAACCCCAGUCCGGGGAGGAAAUGGGUGAGGAAUACUACCCUCUCAUGGGGCCUGGGGGUGGGGAUGAGCUGCCCCUCAUCUGGGAGCUGGUGCGCGAUGUCGUCGGGCAGGUAUCCGGCUCUCCUCAGUUUCUUGAUGUCUCCCUCCGUGAUGGAGAAGACCAUCCACUUGCCUCCCGCUCCGGACAUGAUUGGAGAAGGUCGAGGUGGGAAGUGCGGACUUGGGCGCUAGAUCUCGAGUGUGCGGAAAUGGAUGAGCAAAGGAGGAAGAAGGCGUGGAUAGAAAGGUGAAUCCUUAUCGCUUUAUAUGGGCGGACGAAACUAAGCAUCCCCACUUGCCUGGUAAAACUCGCUUAUCCCCCAAGCACCGCAAUUCAUGGCGCGGUUGGGUUACCCACGCCCGUAUUGAUGAGAAUCCCGUAAUAAGGGGACACAAUCUCUGCUUUGACAAGACGUGUCAAAAAACUGCCUCGCGUUAUGUGCGGGGCUGGUUAAAAGAAACGGUUCGAAUAAUCACCGGGCCAUGACGUAACGUCAUGCUGCCAAAACAAGCCAACAAAUUAGAUCUGCGAAAAUAUUAUUCUCUCUACGGUGGAAUGUGGAACUUAUUUUGCAGGGUCGGACACUAUCCUCGUAUUCAAAUUCUUCUGCGGUGUAUUCCGAGAAGGAACCCACCUUGCAAUGCCGAAGACAAUACUGCGCGCCGGACUCAUCGUCAUUGAAGCCUGGUUCAGGGGCUACUGAGGGAGUCCUGGAUUAGGGGGUCUCCGGACAGCCGAACUAUCUCCAUUGGCUGGACUAUUAGACUAUGAAGAUACAAGAUUGAAGACUUCGUCUCGUGUCCGGAUGGGACUCUACUUGGCGUGGAAGGCAAGCCAGGCAAUACGAAUAUGGAUAUCUCCUCCUUUGUAACCGACCUUGUGUAACCCUAACCCUCUUUGGUGUCUAUAUAAACCGAAGGGUUUUAGUCCGUAGGACAACAACCAUAACAUACAAUCAUAUCAUAGGCUAGCUUCUAGGGUUUAGCCUCUCUGAUCUCGUGGUAGAUCUACUCUUGUACUACCCAUAUCAUCAAUAUUAAGCAAGCAGGACUUAGGGUUUUACCUCCAUCAAGAGGGCCCGAACAUGGGUAAAACAUCGUGUCCCCUGCCUCCUGUUACCAUCCGGCCUAGAGACGCAGUUCGGGACCCCCUACCUGAGAUCCGCCGUUUUGACACCGACAGAAGUCCUCUCCCCUUUAGCUGCGUCCUAGGGCUUGGAGGGGCUGUUUACCACACCCCUCCACCUAUAUAUAGUGGGGAGGGGUGUGACGCCCCGAGUCCGAUGCGCCAGGUGUCUUCCAGUUAUUCGUUGUUGUUGCCAUGUCUUUCGCUUGCGUGUUGCAUCUUGCCAUGUCAUCAUCCGCAUUGCAUCAUCAUGUUCAUUUCAUCCGUCCCAAGCUGUCUUUUGUUUUCCCGCCCUCCCACCCUUUUUUCUUCAAGGACUCAUAUUUCUUAAUCAAGUAUCCAUCGUAUGGGUGUGAAGUCUCUCCACUCUUUUCCGUCAAUGUUCUUAUCUGGUGGUUCUCAGGAAGAUUCUAACGGAGCUUCUAGUUCAUCACUCUUCGUUCUCUUUCUUUUCCGGUGGAUUCAAUUCAAGCCUUGUUGAUCAUAUUCCUUUCCUUGUUUAAAAUGCCUUCUCAUGUUGGUGCACCUCUUAAUCAUCCACUUAUUGCAAUUCAAUUGGUCCGAAGUGCUGAAGAUAUCUCGAAGAUUCGUGUUUCCACUCUGCAUUUGUUCAAGCUCUUUCGAGGAUGUUAUCUCAUUCAAGCCAUUUAAUUCAACCGGUGCAAUCUCUAUUUUCAAGCAAUCUUUUCAACGAUGUUUCUUUUGAGUGGGCCCUAACCCAAAAGUUUUUCACAGGAUUUUACCUGACUCUUUUUUUCCCGGUGUUAUUCUCAAAUUCAUUUCAAGUUUGACGUAAGAAUGAACUGUCAUCAGCCAUAUGUCUUCCUCCAAGAUCUUUCAAAUUCGUUCAUCGUUGGCUCAACCUCUUCACUUUUGAUUCUCCGGAGUCCAUCAUCUCAGAAUUAUUCAUUCCAGCUUUCAGCUCUCGUUCUUCAAAUCUUACCGGUACAUCAUUCAAGUAUUCUUUUAUCAGCUCGUGAUCUCUUCGUUCUCAUGUAUCUAAAUCCCAACAAGUAUCUUUAUUCAUUUUCAAAAUCUUCCUGGUGUUUUGUGCUUUUGCUACUUUCAUUUUCAAGUCUUACGGUGGUUUGCUCAAGAUUCUCUUCCAUGGUUAUCAUAUUAAUUCAUUCAUUGUUUCAAUCCUACCGGUGGUUCGUUGAAGACCUUAUCAAGUUAGCUAUACCUCUCUUUAAUCCUUUCUACGAGAAUAAGUAGUAUGCAAAAUCUGUUGCUUGUCAUCAAUUUAAAUUGGUGAAGGAUACGCAUAACGUAAUUCUUAUUAUUGUUUCAUCCAAGUGACCUAAUUUCUUCUUUCCGGAGUUGUUCAUCAUAUCACAUUCUCGGGUCGAGAUGCUUCAUCUUUUCUUACCAGAGUUCUUCAUGAAGGCUCUACAUGGUGGUUCAUCAAGGAUUCUUUUCAUUCUUCAAUUGUUCAUCAAGUUUUCUCUCGAAGCUAAGAUCCGCCAAGCUAUACUCUGAAAUAAACAUGGUGUUCAACACAUGUCUUGUUUUGAGGAGUUCAAGUAUUCUUCAUCUUGCAUUCUGAAGUGCUAUUCUUUCUACAUUAUCUUUUGAGGUGGUGUUAUGUCGUUUUGACAGCUUCCUUCAUCUUUCCUGAUUCACAAGUUGGCCGAAAUGACAUAUUUUAAACCCAUCAUUUUCAAUUCAUUCAUGAGAUCCUUUGCAUCCCAUCAAUCGUUUCAUUGGAGUUAUCUUGGGUUAUAUUUCACCAGAAACUUUCCUAAGGAUUGUUGCUAGUUAUGGUGCUUAUAAAUGAUCCAAGUUCUUCAUUUAUCCUCCCGGUGAAAUAAGUUUCUCGUCUCCUUGUUCAUAUCAAUCCAAUCUAUUGUUUCCAUUAGUGGUAGAAUUUCACCUCAUAGUUUUGAGAUGUUCUCCAUAAGCCCACUACAAGCUUACUCUUUUUGUUGUUGGUUUUCCAACAACUCCGUUAUAACCUUUCUUGGAGGUGUGCUUUCCAAGCUCAUUUGUGGUAGAAGUUGUCAUUUUCUUCUCCGUUCUUUUGUUCUGACGAUCUUUCUUCUAGUCUUUCUUCUGGAGGCAUUGUGAUGUUGCUGUUUUCACUCAUCAUCUCGAAUUGCGAGGAUCGUGUUCUUUUCGUGCUUAUCCAUUCAACCAGAGUGUCGUGUCCUUCAUUCAAGUUCUCUCAUCUUAUCAAGUUUUGCCUCCCUUCUCAACCAGAGUGCUGUCUGAAAUCUUUCUUACCCCUUGUGUCAUUCUUUCAAUAGUUACGGAGGCAGUGUGUUGUUGAUUUCAUCAAGUAUCCUCUCAUCUUGUCAAGUUCAUGUUCAAUUCCUUCCAUUUUCAAUCGGAGUGCUUCCCAAAUUAUAUCAUUCUUAUUCCUUCUCUAUCUCGUUUUAACCGGAGUGUUGUGGCUAUCAUUCCUCUUCUAACCGGACUCUCAUCCAAGUGCUUUCAUUUUGCCAAGCUCAUAUUCUUUACCUUCCAUUUCCAACCAGAGUGUUGUCAUAUUUGAUCCUUAUCGUUCCUUGUACAUAUCGUUUCUACCAGAGUGCUUGCAUGUACUUCCUGUCCAUUGCAAACCUUUUUCUUAUGUGUUUCAACCUACUAGGUUCUAGUAAUGUUCCUUAUUUCUCUUUUCUACCGGAGUGCUCUCAAAUUCGUUCAUCUCUGUUGUGUUCUUUCUUUCUUUCAAGUUUUCAACCUCUCAAGGUUCUUCGGUUUCACUCUUUUGUCAAAGAAGCAACUUAGUUUUACCUCUUCUCUUCCUCUUCCCUUUCCCUCCGGUGCCAUCCUAGAUCUCGGGACGAGAUCUUCUCAUAGUGGUGGUGUGUUGUGACGCCCCGAGUCCGAUGCGCCAGGUGUCUUCCAGUUAUUCGUUGGUGUUGCCAUGUCUUUCGCUUGCGUGUUGCAUCUUGCCAUGUCAUCAUCCGCAUUGCAUCAUCAUGUUUUCGAAACUUGCAUUCGUCCGGGUCUCCCCGUUCUCUCCGUUGUCCGUUCUGAGCCCGACCACACUUGCACGCGCACGCGGCACGUCCAAAAUAGUAUUUCAUAAGUGGCCAGAAAUGUUCUCGGAAUGGGUUGAAAGUUGACAUGCAGUGUUGUUAUCGAGUAGUUAGAAUGCCUGUCAAAUUUCAUCGCAUUCGGAGAUCGUUUGAUGUCCCAACGGAUAACUAUAGCGACAUUAUAGUCGGUCAAACGUCGAACGUUUUCGGUCUCCGAAAACCUUGCCGGGCUGCAUUUCCGUCUCUCUCUUAUCAGCGUGAGACCUCUCCUACACAGCCUAGGUCCAUCUUACCCUCUUUGCAUAGUGCAUUGACCCCUCGCGCGUGUCCGAAACUUACCCGAACCCGACCCGGACAGUCGUCACCGUUGGAUCCGGAUCAUCCCCAAACAUCCCGAAAACAUCUCCGUUUUAUUAUUUGAUCUCCCUAGCCUAUUUAUCCGAGACCGUCCGAUUAAGAUCGGAGGGACCAAAUGCCCCUAAAUUUAGCCCUUUUGCUAUAUAUAGAUCAACCUAUGCCUAUUUUGGACAAACCCUAAUUUCUAGGAAGGUUGUCCCCGUCGCCGCCGCCGCCACCCGGUCUCGAUCCACCUCGGGAUCCCUUCUCCUCGCUUUCCUCCACCCACCAACCAACGCUCCCCACUGCUCCUCCCCGAUUUGCUCUACCCGAUCGACAACCGCAGCAAGCCGCCGCACCAGCAGGACCCCGCGUCCCCGCUCCACCCCUCCUUUCUCCCUGUUCAUCUCGUUGCUCCCUCCCAUCUCAAAUCUCUCUCUUUUCUCUCUUUCUACAGGAACAUGAGGAGGCCAUGGAAGCCGUCCUUCCACACCUCGUCUCUGGCCCCUGCCCGCCAGAGCCGUGCCUCCCUGGAACCGCGGCUGUGCAGUCGGUCGUCAGUCCCGCCGCACCCGCCUUGCCUCGCUCAUCGUCGUCGCCGGAAGCUCCAAGCCGCCUUCCUGUUCAAACCCUUCGUCGUGGAUCGAUUCCAUGGCACAUGACGAACGCCGGAGCAAGAGACUCCUCCUUCGCCGCGCCAAGUACUACAGUCGUUCGUCGCCACCAGGGAGCCGUCGCCCCGCCAAGUCCCCUUGUCUCGCCUGUGCUUGCCCGUACUUCGCCGUCGCGCCGGGCCGCCACUGUGUCCUCUGAUCCCCCAGCGUCCCGCUCGCUUCCUCUGCGUCACAUAGUGGGCCGCCUCGCUCCAGGGCCAGCUCCUCCAUCGCGCCAAGUACCACUGCCCCAUCCUUGCCUUGCCGGAGAGGCUUCUCCUUCGCCAAGUCCCAGCGCCGCUGCAGCUCUAUUUCCAGUCGAGCAAAGGACGCCCGCUCGUCUUGCCCGUUGACCAUGUGCCGCCCACAUGGGCCUAUCCAGCCACUGGCCCAGCUCCAGCCACUCCCGCACCGCACCGGGCCUAGCAUCACCGACCUGGGCCAUGGCCCAUGGGUGAGCCACCCCCUCUCCUUUUGCACUAUUGGCCCAUGUGCAGUUUCGGCCCAUAGGCAUUUUUUCCUAGAUAUGCAAUUUAACGAUUUUCCCAUGAUUUGCCAUUUUGCAGAAACACCCUUGCACAUCAUGCAUAUCAUAACUCACCAACCGUGCAUCGGAUCUAAGUAAAUUAUAUAUGCAACUUGCUUAUAAUUUUGCGUAGAGUAAUAAUUUGCAACUUCCAUCUAUGUUUAAAAUGUUUAAAAUUCUGUUUGGCUAAAUUUGCUCCUAUGCCAUGUUAAAAUGAUUUAAUUCAUAACUAAUUAACCGUAGCUCGGAAUUAAUUAAACUUUAUGUAAAUGGGGUAGAAAAAUGCCUAGUUUAACAUGGUGGCUUUACUUUGCAUGUUUAAAAACUCUAAAAUUGUGUAUAGGGCAGAACAGUACCAAUCCUUAAAUAUGCACAUGAGGAUUUUCCGGACUUGUUGCUUGUUAUUCCGGCCUCAUUUAAACUUGCCUAGAUAGGUAGUUUUAUUUUGCUUCACCUCUUGCCAUGUUAAUCAACAUUUAAUAUUGUUGGGUACAUAAACGAGAUCGAACUAAAUAACUUGAAUGUGGUGUUCCGUCAAUAUGCAACUCGUUGCAUAUUGAGCUCCACUUAACUUGUAGUGUUGUUUGUGCACUUUGCCAUGCCAUGCUUCAUUAAACCGAACAUGCAUCAUACUUGGUUGUGCAUCAUGCCAUGUUGAUGUGAUGGUUGUUUACUAUGUUGUUUGCUUCUUUCCGGUGUUGCUUCUUCGGGUUAGUUCCAAUAACGUCACGUUUGUGAGGAUCCGUUCGACUACAUCCGUUUGUCUUCUUCAUGGACUCGUUCUUCUUCCUUGCGGGAUCUCAGGCAAGAUGACCAUACCCUCGAAAUCACCUCUAUCUUUGCUUGCUAGUUGCUCGCUCUAUUGUUAUGCCGCGAUACCUACCACUUGCUAUAUCAUGCCUCCCAUAUUGCCAUGUCAAGCCUUUAACCCACCUUGCCCUAGCAUACCGUUGUUUGGCUAUGUUACCGUUUUGCUCAGCCCCUCUGAUAGCGUUGUUAGUUGCAGGUGAAGAUGAAGUUUGUUCCUUGUUGGAACAUGGAUAUUGUUGGGAUAUCAUUAUUAUAUCUUGUUUACUUUAAUGCAUCUAUAUACUUGGUGAUAACCCACAAGUAUAGGGGAUCGCACCAGCUUUCGAGGGUAGAGUAUUCAACCCAAAUUUAUUGAUUCGACACAAGGGGAGCCAAAGAAUAUUCUCAAGUAUUAGCAGCUGAGUUGUCAAUUCAACCACACCUGGAAACUUAGUAUCUACAGCAAAGUGUUUAGUAGCAAAGUAAUACGAUAGUGGUGGUAACGGUAAGAAGAAAGUAAUGAAAGCAAAGUAAUAUUUUUGGUAUUAUGUAGUGAUUGUAACAAUAGCAAUGAGAAAGUAAAGAAGCGUAAACCAGUAUAUGGAAAGCUCGUAGGCAUCGGAUCAAUGAUGGAUAAUUAUGCCGGAUGUGGUUCAUCAUGUAACAGUCAUAACAUAGGGUGACACAGAACUAGCUCCAAUUCAUCAAUGUAAUGUAGGCAUGUAUUCCGCAUAUAGUCAUACGUGCUUAUGGAAAAGAACUUGCAUGACAUCUUUUGUCCUACCCUCCCGUGGCAGCGGCGUCCUAAUGGAAACUAAGGGAUGUUAAGGCCUCCUUUUAAUAGAGAACCGGAACAAAGCAUUAGCACAUAGUGAAUACAUGAACUCCUCAAACUAUGGUCAUCACUGGUAAGUAUCCCGAUUAUUGUCACUUCGGGGUUAACGGAUCAUAACACAUAAUAGGUGACUAUAGACUUGCAAGAUAGGAUCAAGAACUCUCAUAUAUUGAUGAAACAUAAUAGGUUCAGAUCUGAAAUCAUGGCACUCGGGCCCUAGUGACAAGCAUUAAGCAUAGCAAAGUCAUAGGAACAUCAAUCUCAGAACAUAGUGGAUACUAGGGAUCAAACCCUAACAAAACUAACUCGAUUACAUGAUAAAUCUCAUCCAACCCAUCACCGUCCAGCAAGCCUACGAUGGAAUUACUCAUGCACGACGGUGAGCAUCAUGAAAUUGGUGAUGGAGGAUGGUUGAUGAUGACGACGGUGACGAAUCCCCCUCUCCGGAGCCCUGAACAGACUCCAGAUUAGCCCUCCCGAGAGGUUUUAGGGCUUGGCGGCGGCUCCGUAUCGUAAAACGCGAUGAAAUCUUCUCUCCUAUUUUUUCUCCCCAAAAGCAGUUAUAUAGAGUUGGAGUUGGAGUCGGGAGGUCUCCAGGGGGCCCACGAGGUAGGGGGCGCACCCUAGGGGGGGGGCGCCCCCACCCUCGUGGCAAGGGUGUGGGCCCCCUGGUCUUCAUCUUUGGUGAGGAUUUUUUAUUAUUUAUUGUAAGAUAUUCCAUGGAGUUUCAGGUCAUUCCGAGAACUUUUGUUUUCUGCACAUAAAACAACAUCAUGGCAAUUCUGCUGGAAACAAUGUCAGUCCGGGUUAGUUCCAUUCAAAUCAUACAAGUUAGAGUCCAAAACAAGGGCAAAAGUGUUUGGAAAAGUAGAUACGACGGAGACGUAUCAACUCCCCCAAGCUUAAACCCUUGCUUGUCCUCAAACAAUUCAGUUGACAAACUGAAAGAAAUGAAGAAAAACUUUUACAAACUCUGUUUGCUCUUGUUGUUGUAAAUAUGUCAAGCUAGCAUUCAAGUUUUUAGCAAAGAUUAUAACUAACCAUAUUUGCAAUAAUUCUCAGGUCUCAUGAUUACCCAUAUCAAUAGCAUAAUCAACUAGCAAGCCAUAAUAAUAAAUCUCGGAUGACAACACUUUCUCAAAACAAUCAUAAUAUGAUAUAACAAGAUGGUAUCUCGCUAGCCCUUUCUGAGACCGCAAAACAUAAAUGCGGAGCACCUUUAAAGAUCAAGGACUGACUAGACAUUGUAAUUCAUGGUAAAAGAGAUCCAAUCAUAGUCACACCCAAUAUAAAUUAACAGUGAUGAAUGCAAAUGACAGCUGCGCUCUCCAGCUAGUGCUUUUAAUAAGAGGGUGAUGACUCAACAUAAAAGUAAAUGGAUAGGCCCUUCGCAGAGGGAAGCAGGGAUUUGUAGAGGUGCUAGAGCUUGUUUUGAAAUAGAGGUGAAUAAUAUUUUGAGCGGUAUACUUUCAUUGCCAACAUAACAACCAAGAGAUGGCGAUAUCUUCCAUGCUACACACAUUAUAGGCGGUUCCCAAACAGAAUGGUAAAGUUUAUACUCCCGCUCCACCAACAAACAUCAGUUAAUGGCUUGCUCGAAACAACGAGUGCCUCCAACAUACAUCAGGUCCCAGGGGGAGUUUUGUUUUGCAAUUAUUUUGAUUUAGUUUGCAUAAAGCAUGGGACUGGGCAUCCUGGUGACCAACCAUUUUCUCGUGAGUGAGGAGCGGAGUCCACUCCUCUUGAGAAUAACCCGCCUAGCAUGGAACAUACAGACAUCCCUAGUUGAUACAUGAGCUAUUCGAGCAUACAAAACAAGAUAAUUAUUUGAAGGUUUAGAGUUUGGCACAUACAAAUUUACUUGGAACGGCAGGUAGAUACCGCAUAUAGGAAGGUAUAGUGGACUCAUCUGGAAUAACUUUGGGGUUUAAGGGAUUGGAUGCACAAGCAGUAUUCCCGCUUAGUACAGGUGAAGGCUAGCAAAAGACUGGGAAGCGACCAACUAGAGAGCGACAACAACCAUGUACAUGCAUUAAAAUUAAUAAACAUUGGAUGCAAGCAUGAGUAGGAUAUAAUCCACCAUGAACAUAAAUAUCGUGAAGGCUAUGUUGAUUUGUUUCAACUACAUGCGUGAACAUGUGCCAAGUCAAGUCACUUAAAUCAUUCAGAGGAGGAUACCACCCUAUCAUACCACAUCAUAACCAUUUUAAUAGCAUGUUGGCAAGCAAGGUAAACCAUUAUAACUCAUGGCUAAUCAAGCAUGGCACAAGCAACUAUGAUCUCUAAUUGUCAUUGCGAAUCAUGUUUAUUCAUAACAAGCUGAAUCAAGAACGAUGAACUCAUCAUAUUUACAAAAACAAAAGAGGUCGAGUUCGUACCAGCUUUUCUCAUCUCAGUCAGUCCAUCAUAUAUCAUCAUAAUUGCCUUUCAGUUUCACGACCGAACGAUGUGAAUAAUAAUAAGAGUGCACGUGCAUUGGACUAAGCUGGAAUCUGCGAGCAUUCAAUAAACAGGAGAAGACAAAGCAAUAUGGGCUCUUGGUUAAAUCAACAAUAAAGCAUAUAAGAGCCACUUCAACAAUUUAAUCAUGGUCUUCUCCUACUGACCCCCAAAGAAAAGAAAAGAAAUAAAACUAUUUACACGGGAAAGCUCCCAACAAGCAAAAGAAGAACAGGAAAUCUUUUUGGGUUUUCUUUUUUAAUUACUACUACAAGAAGGGAAAUUAAAUUAAUUAAAAGCUACAACUAAUUUUUUUUUGUUUUUUUCGUAAGGUUUAUUAAACACACAAGAAGAAAGCAUAGAAGGAAAUAAACUAGCAUGGAUGAUACAAUGAAAAAGUAUGAACACCGACAUCUAGCAAUGAGUGUGUGUGAACAUAAAUGUAAUGUCGGUGAGAAAUACGUAAUCCCCCAAGCUUAGGCUUUUGGCCUAAGUUGGUCUAUGGCCACGGCUGGCCUGGCUGAUAUCCAUAAUAAUAGUUGGGGUCGUACUGCGAUGAGGAAGAAGAAGGCUCCGAUUGCCACUGGCUGGCAAUCAUCUCUGGAUCCCACUGAUAGUUAGACUGUCGUGAAGGAUCAAAUUGUGGUUCCAGUUCUGGCUCCUCGGCUGGUGCAAGGUUCCGGUAGGCAUGGAUAGCCGUCAACAGAACAAGGUACGUGCCUACAGUCAAAUCAAACAAAGAAGGAGCAGGCAAGGUAAUAGUCUCAGGAUGAUGUUUAUUAAAGAACAAUUGAUAUUUAAGCUCUCCUGCCCUAUUCUUAAUAAUAAAAUCAUGUGCCACCAUACUUUUAUAAUCUAGAUAAACACGAGGCAGCACUUUUUCUUCCUUCUCAGCAUGCCUAAUAGGUAUGUUAAAAUGUGCAUCUAGGUGUGUAGCAUAGAUGCCUCCAAAGAUGGGGCCCUUUGUACGGUUCAGACUUAACCGUUUAGCAAUAAUACCGCCCAUACUAAAAAUGUUAUCACUGUAUGAACCGUGGAGCAAAAUAAUUAUAUCAGGGAUACUAAGGUUUCCACAGUUUCCGCAUCCAAUUAAGCAACGACUAGCAAAUACUGCAAAGUAACGUAAAACAGGAAAAUGUAUGCUAGUGAUUUGUGCAUCGGAAACCUUCCUAGUUUCUCCUACAGUGAUAGUAUCAAUAAACCCCUCCACAUCAUCAUGAUGUGGUGUAGCGACCAGACCUCAGACAGUCUGAUCUCUGUGCUCCGAUGUCAUCCCUGGAUUAGCAAUGCUGACACCAUACAGUACUCGGAGGAUUUAUAGCAGAGUAGCAAUCACACACUUAUUACAUCGAGUGUCUCAAAAGAGAAAUUAUUACAAUAAAUAUGGCUUAAGGCCAUCUAAUAACGAUAAUAGCGGAAGGCUUGGAAGAUAAGUGAGUCCAUCAACUCCAACGGCAUCACUGAGUAUAGAACCACGACCUAAAAACUCCUUAAUCGUCAUCUGAAAAGUCUGCAACAUUAACGUUGCAGCCCAAAAAUGGGUCAGCACAUGGAAUAUGCUGGCAAGGUAACACAUAGAGAGUAAUGGAAUGAAACAGCUAUACUAUAUGCAUAUUUGGCUGGUGGAAAGCUCUAUGGUUACAGUUUUGCGUAAAGCCAAUUUUUCCCUACUUCAAAGGAAUAAAAUUUAAUCACUAUCAUGGUGGUAGUUAAACAUUGAGAAUGGUUGACAGCAUUCUCAAUCCCAAUUAAGCAUCAUCAUUAAACAUAACCCAACAAAAUUAAUUUAGAGUAACAUGUUGAGAUUCACAUGAAAAUCCAAGUACUAGAUACUCAAGAUGUCCAUAACCGGGGACACGACUAAUCAUGAUUAGUUUAUUACACUCUGCAGAGGUUUGCGCACUUUUCCCCACAAGACUCGAUCACCUCCGUUUGGUUUCUCGCACUACAUGGUGUUUGAGAAGACGGAUGACCGAGACAUAGUCUUUCAGAAGCGCUAGCACCUUACGAUCGGGUAGACCGUACCACCUACAUCUGCUAGUCUACCACUAUAAGAGUUCGCACAACUUAGUCAACUAUGCUAGAGCCCAUAAUAGCUUGUGGCUGCACACGAAAGUUUCUAGUAGGAAUAGUCUCAUGAUCCCUUUGAGCCUGGGUGGCGGUCCAAAAGAAAAUAGGCAAGUCCUGGAAUACCCAGGUGCCUCAGUCCACCCAGAUGUGUGUUUAAGUUGCCACCUUAGAUAAACCAUUAAUUAACAAUCUCACAUCUGUCAUGGAUAUCACUCACCCAAUCCACGUCUACUAGCAUAGCAUGGCGUAAUAAGCAAACGUAGAAGUAACUCCCAAAGGUUUGAUAAUAACAGGUAAUAGGUACUACCUCAUCUACUUACCAUCCCACAAUUUAAUUAGAUCCUAAUCAUGUAAUGUGUUAGGAUUGAUCUAAUGCAAUAAAACUGGGUAGUAGGAAAAGGUAUGAUCAAAGUGUUACUUGUCUUGCUGAUGAUCCGCGAAACCUAACGAUUCGAAGUAACAGUCGGCGCACUUCGGGUAUUCUAUCGCAGACAAACAAACAAGCAUACAAUAAGUACUCAUCUAAUGCACAGGUAAAACUCAAAUAAGAGAUCUAACCAGAAGGUUCAACUUAAGAACUCCGGUUGGCAAAAAGAAUCAAAUUGAACGAAGCAAUGAAAGUCAAACGGCGAAAGAAAACAACUUCGUUCUAGUAAUCUGGAUCUAGGGCAAAUUUUACAGUAACAAAAACUUGUUUAAGUUGGUUAAACGGAUAGAGGGUUUCGAGACGAAUCCCUAGGCGCUUGAAUAAAUGGAACAAAGCAUUAGCACAUAGUGAAUACAUGAACUCCUCAAACUACGGUCAUCACCGGUAAGUAUCCCGAUUAUUGUCACUUCGGGGUUAACGGAUCAUAACACAUAAUAGGUGACUAUAGACUUGCAAGAUAGGAUCAAGAACUCUCAUAUAUUGAUGAAAACAUAAUAGGUUCAGAUCUGAAAUCAUGGCACUCGGGCCCUAGUGACAAGCAUUAAGCAUAGAAAAGUCAUAGCAACAUCAAUCUCAGAACAUAGUGGAUACUAGGGAUCAAACCCUAACAAAACUAACUCGAUUACAUGAUAAAUCUCAUCCAACCCAUCACCGUCCAGCAAGCCUAUGAUGGAAUUACCUACGCACGGUGGUGAGCAUCAUGAAAUUGGUGAUGGAGGAUGGUUGAUGAUGACGACGGUGAUGAAUCCCCCUCUCCGGAGCCCCGAACAGACUCCAGAUCAGCCCUCCCGAGAGGUUUUAGGGCUUGGCGGUGGCUCCAUAUCGUAAAACGCGAUGAAAUCUUCUCUUCUAUUUUUUUCUCCCCCGAAAGCAGUUAUAUAGAGUUGGAAUUGGAGUCAGGAGGUCUCCAGGGGGCCCACAAGGCAGGGGGCGCGCCCUAGGGGGGGGGGCGCCCCCACCCUCGUGGCAAGGGUGUGGGCCCCUUGGUCUUCAUCUUUGGCGAGGAUUUUUUAUUAUUUAUUGUAAGAUAUACCGUGGAGUUUCAGGUCAUUCCGAUAACUUUUGUUUUCUGCACAUAAAACAACAUCAUGGCAAUUCUGCUGGAAACAACGUCAGUCCGGGUCAGUUCGAUUCAAAUCAUACAAGUUAGAGUCCAAAACAAGGGCAAAAGUGUUUGGAAAAGUAGAUACGACGGAGACGUGUCACUUGGUAAAGGGUGGAAGGCUCGGCCUUAUGCCUGGUGUUUUGUUCCACUCUUGCCGCCCUAGUUUCCGUCAUACCGGUGUUAUGUUCCUUGAUUUUGUGUUUCUUAUGCGGUUGGGUUAUAAUGGGAACCCCUUGAUAGUUCACUUUGAAUAAAACUCCUCCAGCAAGGCCGAACCUUGGUUUUGCCAUUUGCCACCUAAGUCUUUUUCCCUUGGGUUCUGCAGACUCAAGGGUCAUCUUUAUUUUAAACCCCCGGGCCAGUGCUCCUCUGAGUGUUGGUCCAAACUAGAGCCCCUUGCAGCGCCACCUCGGGGAAACUUGAGGGUUGGUUUUUAGUUGUACGGAUUGCUUAUCCCGUGUGCCUUGAGAACGAGAUAUGUGCAGCUCCUAUCUAGAUUUGUCGGCACAUUCGGGAGGCUUUGCUGGUCUUGUUUUACCAUUGUCGAAAUGUCUUGUAACCGGGAUUCUGAGUCUGAUCGGGUCUUCCUGGGAGAAGGAAUAUCCUUCGUUGACCGUGAGAGCUUGUGAUGGGCUAAGUUGGGACACCCCUGUAGGGUUUUGAACUUUCGAAAGCCGUGCUCGCGGUUAUGGGCAGAUGGGAAUUUGUUAAUAUCCAAUUGUAGAAAACUUGACACUUAACUUAAUUAAAAUGAAUCAACCGCGUGUGUAGCCAUGAUGGUCUCUUUUCGGCGGAGUCUGGGAAGAGAACACAGUCUCGUGUUUUGCUUGAACGUAAGUAGAUUCAGGAUCACUUCUAGUUCACGACCGUUGCUUUGCUUCUCUUCUCGCUCUUAUUUGCGUAAGUUAGCCACCAUAUAUGCUAGUGCUUGCUGCAGCUCCACCUCACUACCUUCUCCUACCCAUAAGCUUAAAUAGUCUUGAUCUCGCGGGUGUGAGAUUGCUGAGUCCUCGUGACUCACAGAUACUUCCAAACAGUUGUAGGUGCCGAUGCUACCAGUGCAGGUGACGCAACCCAGCUCAAAUGGGAGCUCGACGAAGAUCGUGUUCGUUGUGUUGUUUUUGUUUCCAGUUGAUCAGUAGUGGAGCCCAGUCGGGGCGAUCGGGGAUCUAGCAAUUGGGGUUGUCUUUCUUUAUUUGGUUCCAUAGUCGGACCUUGAUUGUAUUCUGGAUGAUGUAAUACUAUAUUGACGUAUUGUGUGAAGUGGCGAUUGUAAGCCAACUCUUUAUCCCUUUCUUAUUCAGUACAUGGGAUGAGUAAAGAUUACCCCUCUUGCGACAUGCCUACUAUGCGGUUAUGCCUCUAAGUCAUGCUCCGACACGUGGGGAAUAUAGCCGCAUCGUGGGUGUUACAAGGGGGCUCCCCAAGAGGACACGCCAAGCCCUUGGCGCCCCUCUCUCUCUCGUUACUCCGUAGUUCCACCGCCUCGUCUCGGCGAUGCUUAGCGAAGCGCUAUCGGUGUUCCACCACCACCAUCACCACCAUGACGUCGUGUUGGUUGUGAUCUCAUCUACUUCUCCUCUCCCGCUUGCUGGAUCAAGAAGGAGCAGACGUCAUCGAGCCGCACGUGUGCUAAACUCAGAGGUGUCAUAUUCCGUUCGGCACUAGAUCGGUUGGAUCGUGAUCGGAUCGCGAAGAGUACGACUACAUCAACCGCGUGAUAAAACACUUCCAUUUAACGGUCUACGAGGAUACGUAGAAGCACUCUCCCUUCUCGUAGCUAUGCAUCUCCAUGGAUAGAUCUUGCAUGUGCUUAUUUUUUUAUAUUUUCCAUGCAACAUUCCCCAACAAUAAUAAUUCAUGAUUAAUGUUUAUAUUCUAUGCUAUAAUUGUCGUGGUUCUCAAUCCCGCAAAAACCAAGAGAAUCAGAGGAAAACUCAUCUACACAUCUAGAGUUAUAAGCGAUAAAAUAAGAUUCCUGUUGGGGAACGUUGCAGAAAAUUAAAAUUUUUCCUAUGGUUUCACCAAGAUCCAUCUAUGAGUUCAUCUAAGCAACGAGUCAAGGGAGAGAGUUUGCAUCUACAUACCACUUGUAGAUCACGAGCGGAAGCUUGUCAAGGGGAUGGUGAUGAUGGAGUCAUACUCGAACGUGAUUCGGAUCACCGAUGUCCAAGUGCUGAACGGACAACACCUCCGCGUUCAACACAUGUACGGGACGGGAGACGUCUCCUCCGUCUUGAUCCAGCAAGGAGGAAGGAGAGGUUGAGGAAGGCAGCUCCAACGGCAGCACGACGGCGUGGUGUAGUUGGUGCAGCAGUACUCCGACAGAGCUUCGCCAAGCACGUACGGAGGAGGAGAGGUGUUGGGGAGGGGAGGGGCUGCGCCUUGAGUUGUGGUGUGUUGCAGCCCUCCCCUCACCCCUCUAUAUAUAGGGGAAGGGGCGAGGGGGGCCGGCCCUCUAGGGAAAACCCUAGGGGGGCGGCGGCCAAGGGGUGGGGGGCUUGCCCCCCAAGCAAGGGGGGUGCGCCCCCUUUAGGGUUUCCCCCCCAACCCUAGGCGCAUGGGCCCAAGGGGGGGGGGGCGCCAAGCCCACUAGGGGCUGGCUGCUACCCCUACGCAGCCCAAGUGCCCCCCCGGGAGGGGUGGUCCCUCCCGGUGGACCCCUGGAACCUUUCCGGUGGUCCCGGUACAAUACCGGUAUGACCCCGAAACUUUCCGGUGCCCGUUUAACAACUUCCCAUAUAUAAAACUUUACCUCCAGACCAUUCCGGAACUCCUCGUGACGUCCGGGAUCUCAUCCGGGACUCCGAACAACAUUCGGUAAUCACAUACUUGUCUUCCUGAUAACCCUAGCGUCACCGAACCUUAAGUGUGUAGACCCUACAGGUUCGGGAGACAUGCAGACAUGACCGAGACUCUCCGGUCAAUAACCAACAGCGGGAUCUGGAUACCCAUGUUGUCUCCCACAUGCUCCUCGAUGAAGUCAUCGGAUGAACCACGAUGUCGAGGAUUCGAUCAAACCCCGUAUACAAUUCCCUUUGUCAAUCGGUACGUUACUUGCCCGAGACUCGAUCGUCGGUAUCCCAAUACCUUGUUCAGUCUCGUUACCGGCAAGUCAAUUUUCUCGUACCGUAAUGCAUGAUCCCGUGGCCAACACCUUGGUCACCUUGAGCUCAUUAUGAUGAUGCAUUACCGAGUGGGCCCAGAGAUACCUCUCCGUCAUAUGGAGUGACAAAUCCCAGUCUCGAUCCGUGUCAACCCAAUAGACACUUUCGGAGAUACCUGUAGUGCACCUUUAUAGUCACCCAGUUACGUUGUGAUGUUUGAUACACCCAAAGCAUUCCUACGGUGUCAGGACCCCGACUCAAUGCCACAUCGAUCUAGCAUGUAACACCUCAUAUCACUUUGCGGCCUCACGCACGGUAUUCCCACGGGUGUCGCCUUACCUUAGCCCGGGACCGUUUGCGCCUUUUGGCACACGUAUAUGACAGUGUCGCUAGCAUCCAUAUGAUAAGGAGCCCGGGCUGACAUGGCUAGUCGUAAACCCAAAGUGGCACAGACUUACAGGGACAGGCAUCCAUGACCCAGCAUCGAACGUGUCGGUCAUCAGCAAAUGGAUCCAGGCUGUAGCACUGGGCUAGCAGGACUCCGGUGAACCGGGCUGUAGCGGGCUAGCAGGACUCCGGUAUUCAUCGCGUGACAUUUCCCCGAAGGGACAGACACAGGAACGAAGAAGGACACAUGCCGGCCAGCCUAAGUGUUCCGGAGCAGUAGCAAGCUACCAUGGCUCGUUGGAAACACUAGGAGACAUUUCCCGGUAAGAGAGGCUACUAAAGAUAAACAACUAGAUGGUCAGAUCCCACACAUACCAAGCAUUUCAAUAACAUACACACAAUAUGCUCGAUAUGUGCAAAUACAACAUGGCAUCACAACAUGACUCUACGACUCAAGUAUUUUAAUCAAUAGGCUCCGAGGAGCGAGAUAUUACAAACAUGGGUCUCACGACCCAACAAUCAGAGCAUACAAGUCAAAGCACAAGCGGAAGCUAUCAUGUCUGAGUACAGACAUCUAUAAAUGAAAAAGGCUGAGAAGCCUGACUAUCUAUCAGAUCCUGCCGAGGGCACAAGAUCGUAGCUGAGGUAUCAAGCUAAACGUCGAAGUCCACGUGGAACUACUAGCGAGACCGAAGUCUCUCUGCAAAAACAUAAAAUAGGCAAACGUGAGUACAAAUGUACCCAGCAAGACUUACAUCAGAACUAUCUACAUAUGCAUCAUUAUCAACAAAGGGGAUGGUAGGGUUUGACUGCAGCAAGCCAGCUUUGACUCGGUGGCUAUCCUGAACUACGACUGCAAGUAACUCUUUUGAAGUGGCGCACACGAGUCCACAUAUUCACCAACCAAUACACCACUAUGGAUCCGCUCCCGUCUCCCUACGAGAACGCCAUCCAUAGCACUCACUCUUAUCUUGCGUAUUUUAGAGUAUCCACUUUCACUUGUCUAUGAACUAUGCAAGGGGUCCACGUUUCCAUAUCCGAGGAAUCCGGCUAUUCGAAUAGAUGAUGUUAACCCUGCAGGGGUGUACUUCUUCACACACGCUCCCGCCACUUACCGCCCUGUACACGUCAUGUACCUCGGCAACCUUCAAGCGGAAACCGGGCGAGGGAGUCGGCCAUGACCUGACUAACCGAACAAGUCUCUAGUCCAGGUUUAUCGCCUAUUCGGGUUCCAUCCGCAAGGAGAUCCGGCCGGGGUGUCGCUCACGGCCCCAAACGAUGUGUGCAGGGUUCCCAAGCCCACCAACCGGGUGCCACUUGGUACACCGUGCCACGGUGCCUAGUCUGUCCCAAGCCCACCUGUACCGGGUGCCACUUGGUAGACUACUAACACUACCUACAAACACCAGAAACUAGUUGCAACUCCUGGACAGAGAUCAUGUUGAUUAAUAAGUCGAGAGGGGCACUUAAGCAUUCCAAUGUGUGGUAGUAGCUGGUCAUGGAUCACAAACACAGAACUCAGUUCCUGAGGACGGCUGCAAUGAGACAACCCACCAUGUACUCCUACAUGGCCUCUCACCGCUACCUUUACCAAAACGUGUUCACACACUUAGCUCACACACAUGGGGACAUGUUCACACGCCUCUGAUUCAUCCCCGAUGAAUCAGACCUGACUCAACUCUAAGCAGUAGCAGGCAUGACAAACAAGCAUGAAUGAGUAGGCACAACAGGGCUCAAACAACUCCUACUCAUACUAGUGGGUUUCAUCUAUUUACUGUGGAAUGACAGGUCAUGCAAAGGAUAAAGGGGUUCAGCUACCGCAGCAAGUAACAGAUGAAUCGGUGUUGUCCUAAUGCAGUAAAAGAGAGCAGGAGCGAGAGAGUAGGAUUGUAUCGGAAUGAACAAGGGGGUUUUGCUUGCCUGGCACUUCUGAAGAUAACAUUGAGUCUUCAUCAGUGUCAACGAUCACAUCAUCGGUAUCACGUCUAUCGAGAGGGGACAAAUACCGGCAACACAGAAAGGAACACAAUCAAUGCAAUGCACAAUAUGAUGCAUGAUCAUGACAUGGCAAAAUGAAUGUGUUUUGAGCUAAUGCAACUAGCAACAGAUUAAAUGAAGUUGGGUUGAAUACAAAAUUCAAAUUCAAACUCCAUAUGUGAUUAUUUAAAUGCCCUUUAUAUGAUUUGUGCUAAACAGCACCUAUAAGUUGUUCUAACAUGCAUGAAAAUGGUACAGAUGGAUUCCUUGAAUUUUUCUAAUAAUUUUUCAUAUAUAAUUUAUUUAAUUUGGAGUUACGGUUAAUUUUCUAUGAUUUUUAGAAGUUUUAGGCAUUUUCUAAAAUUUCAGAAUUAAAUUAAAUCCAGAAAAUGAGUUAUGACAUCAGCACUGCGUCAUGCUUGCAUCAGCAAGUCAACAGGGCUGCCCCGGGUCAAACCUGACCAGGGGGUCCCAUUAGUCAGUGACUUAGGGCUCGUUUAGGUCGCUGGCAGGUGGGCCCAGUCAACGGACACAUCAGCCUGGUCAACUCCGACGUGUGGGGUCGGUCAAAGUGUGACGGGGCCAGGUCAAACUGACCUAUGGGGCCCACAAAAUUAGUACUAAUCUAAACAGAGAGGUUAAACUAAUUAAUUAGGCACGGGGGCCCACUUGGCAGUGGCUCUAGUGGGUGAUUAGCGGGGUGUUUACGCCCUAACCAAGUGGCCACGUCGGCGAGUGACGCCGGCGACCACGGCGACGGCGAGACCUCGCCGGAGUUGCUCGGGACGGCGCUACGGCCCGCGGCUGGUCGCGCUGAGGGCACCAAGAGGAAGCCCGUGCUCCCGCGCAUCUAGGGGGACCCACGAGAGGGCGUGGGGUGGCCGGAGUUGAGCGCGGCAUCGACCCCGGCGGCGGCCGGAGCUCGGGGGUUCGCGGGACCGGCGCUGCGGUGUGCAAACAAGACGGUGGUCGUGCUAGUUUUACUCUACGGGACGCAACGAGUGCAACGGACGCAGGCGUGGGACCAAAAGGUCACCGGAGCUUCACCGGCGACGAGCCCGUGCGGCGGAGCGUCUCGGCUCCGGCGGAUUUGAUAGCUACGCGGUGCAACCGAGGCAGGGGAGAGAGGGGAAAGAUUCCAGUGCUCACGGUGAACUCGCAGAGCAGACUGGUGGGCUCGGGGAUGGCUUGAUGACGACGAAUCAACGACGGCGAUCUCGGGCGGCCGGAGAUGGAGAAGACGGCGUGGGCGGCGAUGCAGGGCUCCCGGCGUUGCGUAGCUCCAUGGAGAGGUCGGGGGCGUCGAGGCGGAGCUCCUGGGUGCAUCGGCGAGGCUAGGGGUGCACGGUGGCUGCGGCAAUCAGCGUCGGUGGCGGCGGCUGCGCUCGGCACGAGAGGGAGAGAGAAACAGAGGAGGGGGAGAGCUCGGGAGAGAGUGAGGGGCGGUCGGGGAGGCCGCGUGUCGACGUCCAGGGCGUCCAGAGCGUCGGGGGAGAGCGGUAAGCAGGAGCUGGCGAGGCGCGUGGCCAGCACGCGGCGGGCACGCGCUCGUCCUCCUGUCCAGGGAGGAAGACGACAGGGAGGCUGUGGUGGUGGGCUGGGCCGGCCACUUGGGCCGCCAGGUAAGCCCAGGUGAGAUUCCUUCUCUCUCUCUGCUUUCUGUUUUAUAUUUCUGUUUUUCUAUUUUGUUCUGUUUUGUUUUGGUUUAGUAAAAAUACUAAACCAUUUUAUAAAAUCCUGAAAAUAAUUAUGUGGCUAGAACUAAAAUAUACCAAACCACAUAAAAUGUUCCAGAAUUAUUGGACAUAUAUUAAUUAUAUAUAAAAUAUAAAUCCAAUGCAAUUAGUUAUUGAAUUAAUUCAAAUGGCCAAAACAAAUAUUUCUGUGACUCCAAAAAUAUUGGUUUGAAUUUUACCUCUUGCCAAUAUUUCCAGAGGAUAACAAGAACAUUUUCUUGGACUUAUUUGAAGCAAUUUUUAUCUUGAUCAUUUUUUAAAGAAUUCUGAGGCUUUGAAAAUUCCUCAAUUCAAAUUUCAUUUGAAUUUAAACAUGAUGCAGCAACCAAGCUAGUCCAAGGCCAGGGUAAAGCUAGGGAUGUGACAACUCACCCCCACUAAACAAGAAUCUCGUCUCGAGAUUCAAGCGUAGGGUAGGAUGAAGGGGAAACGCAAACUAGUAUAAUCUUCACGAUCCAGGUUGCGCUUCGAAUGAACGUCGAUUCGAUCACCAUCAUUGUCUCGAAGUCUUGCUCUGAGAAAUCCUGCCAACAUGACAUGGAGAGAAGAAGGAGACUCUAGAAGGGUCGAUCUUCUCGAAGAUCGAACAACUCAGGAUUAACUCACGGAAUGAGACAUAGCAACCUCUCUCGAGCUGAGACACUAAACAUACAUCCAUGGGAAUGGAGUGAAGCAGAUGACGAAGGUUCACUAGGUAGACAACAAUUUCACGCUUAAGAGGGUGGCAAACGAUUGUCAACGUAGCGAGGAGUUGAGUUGCCAUGAUACCACGACGAAACAUCCUGGAGGAGGGUGAUUCGUAGAUUAUUAUCUUAAGUGGCAAAAAGAAUUACUUUUGAUAUAGAGAUCAUUGAGACUCUCUAUAUCAGCAUGAGGCAAUUCACAACGAUCGUUUGGAGGGGGUCGGUAGAAUGGCACAUUGGUGGUGCAAGCUGGGAACAAAAUGCAAAUGCUGGAAUGAUUCUGGUAACUGGGGAAGAACCCAACAACAGAGAGUGAAUUCUAUGUUUGAAAAGAUCAUAGCAUUGCCGAGGAAACUGAGAGCAAUCUCGGUUAGUGCCGAUGAUAACACGUAGCGCUUGUGCGUGCUCUCAAGAACUUGAGCAUUUCCACAUUCAUCAAGGUUUUACCAACAUCCGUGUCAAGGAUCCUGGCAACACAACUUGCUACCAUGAUGAAUGGUGAUGGAGGAUGCAGAUGCAAAGGAAGAUAAUACCUUCUCAGAUUUCACCUUAGCGAGGCCAAGGAAAUAAAAUAUGGAUGAUCGACCGAGAGACAUUUAGCACUCCGCUUCUAAUGUUCUCCUUGAUGUGCUAGGGUAACCCAUUCAUAGAUAUGGUUUGAUAUCUGGAACAUCAAGUAAAGGUCGGACUUCGGGAGCAAUAGAAUCCAUAAGGAACAGUUACGGAGGUAAAUCCUACGAAAUCCUUAUGGGGAGGUGGCUAACUUCCUCAACCAAGAUACUACCAUAAUAGGUCUUCCGGCUGGGUGUGUUGGCCACGACAUCCACUUUACCGGUUAUCGAGGGACCAAUAUUAUAGUUCUUGGGAAAUGUUCCAACCAUCAUAUCUGCCUGAGACUCAGAUCUGGUUGGUGUCAGGAUAUUCCAGACUCAUCGAGUCUAGGAAGAAAAAUGGAAGUUUGCAACACAAAUCGACGAGAUGACGUUGCGAGAUUCUCGGGAAAUGAACUACGAUAGUAAGCUCCAAAACAUGAGCUGGUUCUGCUACAAACAUGUGAACACGUUGUUCCAGACAAGCAUGCCCACAUGGUAGUCUUACAAUAAAACACUACCGAGUUCUGGUUGGGAGCCAUCAUCGAGGAUAUCGAAGUUCUUUCAUAAGUCCGGAUUAGCUCUUACGAAGAUACUCCUUCUCCUUGAACAAAUCAGUCGGUGGCUUGAUGUGCUAGGAUACACAUAUGGAAUGAAGAUGAUCAGUCUAUCAAACCACAGAAUACUUCGCACGUGCAUAACUGACUUGGGAUGGUUCCAGAGGAGGCAAAAACAUGCUUUCUCGAAUUCACGUCGGCAACUUACAUCAAAUGCACAUGAAUCAAAGGAAGUCACUUCUUUUAUCCAAACAUAUACUUCAUGAACGGGGCAUGAAGAAAAUGCUUUCAAAAGUUUCCAACACUAACUUAAUGUUCAACAACAUCAUGGAGGAGAUAAGAAUGUUGUCAAUGGGCUCAACAACAACUCAUCGGAAUUUCCAUAUCACUGGACUUCCACCAUCGUGUGAACACGGUGAUAGCAUUGGUCAGCCCCAAAAGAUAUAAUGGUGUAUGCUCGAGGGAUCAACCACGAGUAAGACAACAUUACGAACACCGUUGGUUCUGACUUGAUUUGACGGUAGCCCACACUCAAAUCAAAGGAUUGAUAAGACAAUAGGUCCAGCAACUGAUCACAGGGACCAAUCGAUGAAGAUAUCAUCUUUCUUCAACACACACUACACAAGAAUAUCCCUUUGGAACGAACUAAGUCAGGCAAGCUUUUAUCUUCCAACCCUCCAAGUUAUUGUUUAGCUUAACCAACUAGCUCAGGGAUAUCUAACACCGAUUCUUGGAGAGAAGGUGGUUCACAAGAAACCAACUUGAUCACGAGCUCAACAUAGCGGUCAGGUGACAACCUGGUAAUACUUCUGAGAAGAUAUUCAGAAAAUCACGAGCCACCGAUAUGUUACUAAGCUCGAGAACAAUCUUGCUUUUCAGGGCAAGAUGAUAUGAUCAAAUGAGCGAGGACUUGACAAAUCCUAACUCAUCAAUCAAAGAGUGCACCAGGAAAUAAGGACUAGGUAGCACGAUCAAUCUUAGAAUGAUGAUUCAAUAACCAACAUACUAAGAAUAAAAUUAUUAUCCUUUAACUACCAAGCAACGAGGUUGCUAGGAGUAUUGAUUCCACACCUCACAAUUCAUUUGUCGGUAUUCCGGUUGCAUCAACACGGAACCGAGGAAUGAAAAAGGAUGGCGAGAAGUAUCACUAUGUCAAGAAUUCACAAAAGGUGGUGCAAUUCUCAUGAAAUUCCUGUCAUAAAGAAGGUAAUACUUCAGGGUAGAGCAGACCAGAAGCUGGAUUGGCAUUUUGAUCUGCGGAGCACAACUUCUUUGACCCAAUCCUGGAUAUGGGAGAGGUACUGGAGUUUCUUUCUCCUAGUCAUCCUGAAUAGAAUGGCUUGACGGACCACAAGAAUGAUAGGCAUCGAUGAACGAUUGCAUGCAUACCCUUGGUAUCAAUUGAUAGACGAGGGUUAGAAUGCAACUAAAGAGAGCAACUCAAAGGAACAUGCGAUUUUCUGAGUUGUGGAUGCAUGGUUAGCAUGUCGAACGAGUUCCACAUGUUUCUUUCGGAUAACCCAUGCAGAAAAGUAGAACUGGCAGAGUUACAAUGUAGAAUCGAGAACCCAUCGAGAGCACUCUGAUUGUGAUCUUUCGAUCAGCGAGGAACAUCUGCCAUAAGCGGUUCAUAGUAUUUGGAAGAAAGGAAUACCACGAACAUCGAGGACUAUCGCAAAGGUUACUAAUAUCCUAAAGGAACUAGCAAACACUAUCAACAUGAAAUAAGUAGGGUGGAUCUCGGGUUCAAAAACCCAGGAACAGAAUGCCUACUAACUAAUAACAUCACGGGAUGCUUUCGAGAAUAAAAGCCAGAAUCAUCACACUGGGAUCACAAAACAUUGCUAGAUUACUAGGUGACUCGCUAAGACACCUAGGGUCAUAGUAGUAGCUCCAACAUAAUGUCAAGGCAAUAGAAUACCUCAACUCAACAAUUAGUGUGAUUGAGCUGGCAUAAAGGAACAUCGAAACCAGAGGGAAAGGAUUUUGCAAAUGCAUCAGACUAUUUAGAAACCUGGAAUGACUCGGACAGCAUAACGGCUGUAAAUGCUCAGAAAAGAUUUGAGACAUUCACAAAAAUGGUGGCAUAACCACUCAGAAGCACAAUAUCAAGGUCUCGAGAUCAAUAAUUAACAUACGGAAGUAGAAACUGAACUCAAGCUUAAAUCCAACAAUCUUAUAAGUCUACGGAUUAGUAACACGUGAUCCUGAUAGGAAGAAGGGAAAGCCUAGUUCUUAACCCCGUAGGAAAGAUAAGAUGACUCAGAUCAGAAGGCCAUGAGGUAUAAGGAGUAAAAAGAGCCUUACGUUCCAUCCCACAAUCAAUUCCCUUAUAUAACUAAAGAAUUUCUAGACUCAACUUCGACCAGUUUGGCUUGGUAAUCCUACAGGCAGUCAAGCUCUGAUACCAGCGCUGUCAGGACCCCGACUCAAUGCCACAUCGAUCUAGCAUGUAACACCUCAUAUCACUUUGCGGCCUCACGCACGGUAUUCCCACGGGUGUCGCCUUACCUUAGCCCGGGACCGUUUGCGCCUUUUGGCACACGUAUAUGACAGUGUCGCUAGCAUCCAUAUGAUAAGGAGCCCGGGCUGACAUGGCUAGUCGUAAACCCAAAGUGGCACAGACUUACAGGGACAGGCAUCCAUGACCCAGCAUCGAACGUGUCGGUCAUCAGCAAAUGGAUCCAGGAUGUAGCACUGGGCUAGCAGGACUCCGGUGAACCAGGCUGUAGCGGGCUAGCAGGACUCCGGUAUUCAUCGCGUGACAUUUCCCCGAAGGGACAGACACAGGAACGAAGAAGGACACAUGCCGGCCAGCCUAAGUGUUCCGGAGCAGUAGCAAGCUACCAUGGCUCGUUGGAAACACUAGGAGACAUUUCCCGGUAAGAGAGGCUACUAAAGAUAAACAACUAGAUGGUCAGAUCCCACACAUACCAAGCAUUUCAAUAACAUACACACAAUAUGCUCGAUAUGUGCAAACACAACAUGGCAUCACAACAUGACUCUACGACUCAAGUAUUUUAAUCAAUAGGCUCCGAGGAGCGAGAUAUUACAAACAUGGGUCUCACGACCCAACAAUCAGAGCAUACAAGUCAAAGCACAAGCGGAAGCUAUCAUGUCUGAGUACAGACAUCUAUAAAUGAAAAAGGCUGAGAAGCCUGACUAUCUAUCAGAUCCUGCCGAGGGCACAAGAUCGUAGCUGAGGUAUCAAGCUAAACGUCGAAGUCCACGUGGAACUACUAGCGAGACCGAAGUCUCUCUGCAAAAACAUAAAAUAGGCAAACGUGAGUACAAAUGUACCCAGCAAGACUUACAUCAGAACUAUCUACAUAUGCAUCAUUAUCAACAAAGGGGAUGGUAGGGUUUGACUGCAGCAAGCCAGCUUUGACUCGGUGGCUAUCCUGAACUACGACUGCAAGUAACUCUUUUGAAGUGGCGCACACGAGUCCACAUAUUCACCAACCAAUACACCACUAUGGAUCCGCUCCCGUCUCCCUACGAGAACGCCAUCCAUAGCACUCACUCUUAUCUUGCGUAUUUUAGAGUAUCCACUUUCACUUGUCUAUGAACUAUGCAAGGGGUCCACGUUUCCAUAUCCGAGGAAUCCGGCUAUUCGAAUAGAUGAUGUUAACCCUGCAGGGGUGUACUUCUUCACACACGCUCCCGCCACUUACCGCCCUGUACACGUCAUGUACCUCGGCAACCUUCAAGCGGAAACCGGGCGAGGGAGUCGGCCAUGACCUGACUAACCGAACAAGUCUCUAGUCCAGGUUUAUCGCCUAUUCGGGUUCCAUCCGCAAGGAGAUCCGGCCGGGGUGUCGCUCACGGCCCCAAACGAUGUGUGCAGGGUUCCCAAGCCCACCAACCGGGUGCCACUUGGUACACCGUGCCACGGUGCCUAGUCUGUCCCAAGCCCACCUGUACCGGGUGCCACUUGGUAGACUACUAACACUACCUACAAACACCAGAAACUAGUUGCAACUCCUGGACAGAGAUCAUGUUGAUUAAUAAGUCGAGAGGGGCACUUAAGCAUUCCAAUGUGUGGUAGUAGCUGGUCAUGGAUCACAAACACAGAACUAAGUUCCUGAGGACGGCUGCAAUGAGACAACCCACCAUGUACUCCUACAUGGCCUCUCACCGCUACCUUUACCAAAACGUGUUCACACACUUAGCUCACACACAUGGGGACAUGUUCACACGCCUCUGAUUCAUCCCCGAUGAAUCAGACCUGACUCAACUCUAAGCAGUAGCAGGCAUGACAAACACGCAUGAAUGAGUAGGCACAACAGGGCUCAAACAACUCCUACUCAUACUAGUGGGUUUCAUCUAUUUACUGUGGAAUGACAGGUCAUGCAAAGGAUAAAGGGGUUCAGCUACCGGAGCAAGUAACAGAUGAAUCGGUGUUGUCCUAAUGCAGUAAAAGAGAGCAGGAGCGAGAGAGUAGGAUUGUAUCGGAAUGAACAAGGGGGUUUUGCUUGCCUGGCACUUCUGAAGAUAACAUUGAGUCUUCAUCAGUGUCAACGAUCACAUCAUCGGUAUCACGUCUAUCGAGAGGGGACAAAUACCGGCAACACAGAAAGGAACACAAUCAAUGCAAUGCAUAAUAUGAUGCAUGAUCAUGACAUGGCAAAAUGAAUGUGUUUUGAGCUAAUGCAACUAGCAACAGAUUAAAUGAAGUUGGUUUGAAUACAAAAUUCAAAUUCAAACUCCAUAUGUGAUUAUUUAAAUGCCCUUUAUAUGAUUUGUGCUAAACAGCACCUAUAAGUUGUUCUAACAUGCAUGAAAAUGGUACAGAUGGAUUCCUUGAAUUUUUCUGAUAAUUUUUCAUAUAUAAUUUAUUUAAUUUGGAGUUACGGUUAAUUUUCUAUGAUUUUUAGAAGUUUUAGGCAUUUUCUGAAAUUUCAGAAUUAAAUUAAAUCCAGAAAAUGAGUUAUGACAUCAGCACUGCGUCAUGCUUGCAUCAGCAAGUCAACAGGGCUGCCCCGGGUCAAACCUGACCAGGGGGUCCCAUUAGUCAGUGACUUAGGGCUCGUUUAGGUCGCUGGCAGGUGGGCCCAGUCAACGGACACAUCAGCCUGGUCAACUCCGACGUGUGGGGUCGGUCAAAGUGUGACGGGGCCAGGUCAAACUGACCUAUGGGGCCCACAAAAUUAGUACUAAUCUAAACAGAGAGGUUAAACUAAUUAAUUAGGCACGGGGGCCCACUUGGCAGUGGCUCUAGUGGGUGAUUAGCGGGGUGUUUACGCCCUAACCAAGUGGCCACGUCGGAGAGUGACGCCGGCGACCACGGCGACGGCGAGACUUCGCCGGAGUUGCUCGGGACGGCGCUACGGCCCGCGGCUGGUCGCGCUGAGGGCACCAAGAGGAAGCCCGUGCUCCCGCGCAUCUAGGGGGACCCACGAGAGGGCGUGGGGUGGCCGGAGUUGAGCGCGGCAUCGACCCCGGCGGCGGCCGGAGCUCGGGGGUUCGCGGGACCGGCGCUGCGGUGUGCAAACAAGACGGUGGUCGCGCUAGUUUUACUCUACGGGAUGCAACGAGUGCAACGGACGCAGGCGUGGGACCAAAAGGUCACCGGAGCUUCACCGGCGACGAGCCCGUGCGGCGGAGCGUCUCGGCUCCGGCGGAUUUGAUAGCUACGCGGUGCAACCGAGGCAGGGGAGAGAGGGGAAAGAUUCCGGUGCUCACGGUGAACUCGCAGAGCAGACUGGUGGGCUCGGGGAUGGCUUGAUGACGAUGAAUCAACGACGGCGAUCUCGGGCGGCCGGAGAUGGAGAAGACGGCGUGGGCGGCGAUGCAGGGCUCCCGGUGUUGCGUAGCUCCAUGGAGAGGUCGGGGGCGUCGAGGCGGAGCUCCUGGGUGCAUCGGCGAGGCUAGGGGUGCACGGUGGCUGCGGCAAUCGGCGUCGGUGGCGGCGGCUGCGCUCGGCACGAGAGGGAGAGAGAAACAGAGGAGGGGGAGAGCUCGGGAGAGAGUGAGGGGCGGUCGGGGAGGCCGCGUGUCGACGUCCAGGGCGUCCAGAGCGUCGGGGGAGAGCGGUAAGCAGGAGCUGGCGAGGCGCGUGGCCAGCGCGCGGCGGGCACGCGCUCGUCCUCCUGUCCAGGGAGGAAGACGACAGGGAGGCUGUGGUGGUGGGCUGGGCCGGACACUUGGGCCGCCAGGUAAGCCCAGGUGAGAUUCCUUCUCUCUCUCUGCUUUCUGUUUUAUAUUUCUGUUUUUCUAUUUUGUUCUGUUUUGUUUUGGUUUAGUAAAAAUACUAAACCAUUUUAUAAAAUCCUGAAAAUAAUUAUGUGGCUAGAACUAAAAUAUACCAAACCACAUAAAAUGUUCCAGAAUUAUUGGACAUAUAUUAAUUAUAUAUAAAAUAUAAAUCCAAUGCAAUUAGUUAUUGAAUUAAUUCAAAUGGCCAAAACAAAUAUUUCUGUGACUCCAAAAAUAUUGGUUUGAAUUUUACCUCUUGCCAAUAUUUCCAGAGGAUAACAAGAACAUUUUCUUGGACUUAUUUGAAGCAAUUUUUAUCUUGAUCAUUUUUUUUAAAGGAUUCUGAGGCUUUGAAAAUUCCUCAAUUCAAAUUUCAUUUGAAUUUAAACAUGAUGCAGCAACCAAGCUAGUCCAAGGCCAGGGUAAAGCUAGGGAUGUGACAUACGGUAUCCAGGAGUUACACGAUCUCAUGGUCGAAGGAAGAGAUACUUGACAUUGGAAAAGCUCUAGCAAACGAACUAACCGACCUUUGUGCUAUGCUUAGGAUUGGGUCUUGUCCAUCACAUCAUUCUCCUAAUGUUGUGAUCCCGUUAUCAACGACAUCGAAUGUCCAUAGCCAGGAAACCAUGACUAUCUGUUGAUCACAACGAGCUAGUCAACUAGAGGCUUACUAGGGACAUAUUGUGGUCUAUGUAUUCACACGUGUAUUACGAUUUCCGGAUAAUACAGUUAUGGCAUGAAUAAAAGACUAUUAUCAUGAACAAAGAAAUAUAAUAAUAACACUUUUAUUAUUUCCUCUAGGGCAUAUUUCCAACAGUCUCCUACUUGCACUAGAGUCACUAAUCUAGUUACAUUGUGAUGAAUCGAACACCCAUAGAGUUCUGGUGUUGAUCAUGUUUUGCUCGCGAGAGAGGUUUAGUCAACGGAUCUGCGACAUUCAGAUCCGUAUGUACUUUGCAAAUUUCUAUGUCUCCAUCUUGAACAUUUUCAUGGAUGGAGUUGAAACGACGCUUGAUGUGCCUGGUCUUCUUGUGAAACCUGGGCUCCUUGGCAAGGGCAAUAGCUCCAGUGUUGUCACAGAAGAGUUUGAUUGGCCCCGACGCAUUGAGUAUGACUCCUAGGUCGGCGAUGAACUCCUUCACCCAAAUAGCUUCAUGCGCUGCCUCCGAGGCUGCCAUGUACUCCGCUUCACAUGUAGAUCCCGCCACGACACUCUGCUUGCAGCUGCACCAGCUUACUGCUCCACCAUUCAACAUAUACACGUAUCCGGUUUGUGACUUAGAGUCAUCCAGAUCUGUGUCGAAGCUAGCGUCGACGUAACCCUUUACGACGAGCUCUUCGUCACCUCCAUAAACGAGAAACAUGUCCUUUGUCCUUUUCAGGUACUUCAGGAUAUUCUUGACCACUGUCCAGUGUUCCUUGCCGGGAUUACUCUGGUAUCUUGCUACCAAACUUACGGCAAGUUUUACAUCAGGUCUGGUACACAGCAUGGCAUACAUAAUAGAUCCUAUGGCUGAAGCAUCGGGGAUGACACUCAUCUCUUCUUUAUCUUUUGCCGUGGUCGGUGACUGAGCUGAGCUCAAUCUCACACCUUGUAACAUAGGCAAGAACCCUUUCUUGGACUCAUCCAUUUUGAACUUUUUCAAAAUCUUAUCAAGAUAUGUGCUUUGUGAAAGACCUAUGAGGCGUCUCGAUCUAUCUCUAUAGAUCUUGAUGCCUAAUAUAUAAGCAGCUUCUCCAAGGUCCUUCAUUGAAAAACAUUUGUUCAAGUAGGCCUUAAUGCUGUCCAGAAAUUCUAUAUUAUUUCCCAUCAAGAGUAUGUCAUCUACAUAUAAUAUGAGAAAUGCUACAGAGCUCCCACUCACUUUCUUGUAAACGCAGGCUUCUCCAUAAGUCUGCAUAAACCCAAACGCUUUGAUCAUCUCAUCAAAGCGAAUAUUCCAACUCCGAGAUGCUUGCACCAGCCCAUAAAUGGAUCGCUGGAGCUUGCAUACUUUGUUAGCGUUCUUAGGAUCGACAAAACCUUCCGGCUGCAUCAUAUACAGCUCUUCCUUAAGAUGCCCGUUAAGGAAUGCCGUUUUGACGUCCAUCUGCCAUAUCUCAUAAUCAUAGUAUGCGGCAAUUGCUAACAUGAUUCAGACGGACUUAAGCUUCGCUACGGGAGAGAAUGUCUCGUCGUAGUCAAUCCCUUGAACUUGUCGAUAACCCUUAGCGACAAGUCGAGCUUUAUAGAUGGUGACAUUACCAUCCGUGUCCGUCUUCUUCUUAAAGAUCCAUUUGUUUUCUAUCGCUUGCCGAUCAUCGGGCAAGUCAGUCAAAGUCCAUACUUUGUUUUCAUACAUGGAUUCUAUCUCGGAUUUCAUGGCUUCUAGCCAUUUGUUGGAAUCUGGGCCCGCCAUCGCUUCUUCAUAGUUCGAAGGUUCACCGUUGUCUAACAACAUGAUUUCCAGGACAGGGUUGCCGUACCACUCUGGUGCGGAACGUGUCCUUGUGGACCUACGAAGUUCAGUAGCAACUUGAUCCAAAGUACCUUGAUCAUCAUCAUUAGUUUCCUCUUUAGUUGGUGUGGGCAUCACAGGAACAUUUUCCUGAGCUGCACCACUUUCCCGUUCGAGAGGUAGUACUUCAUCGAGUUCUACUUUCCUCCCACUUACUUCUUUCGAGAGAAACUCUUUUUCCAGAAAGCAUCCGUUCUUGGCAACAAAGAUCUUGCCCUCGGAUCUUAAGUAGAAGGUAUACCCUACAGUUUCCUUAGGGUAUCCUAUGAAGACGCAUUUUUCCGACUUGGGUUCGAGCUUUUCAGGUUGAAGUUUCUUGACAUAAGCAUCGCAUCCCCAAACUUUUAGAAACGAUAGCUUAGGUUUCUUCCCAAACCAUAAUUCAUACGGUGUCGUCUCAACGGAUUUAGACGGUGCCCUAUUUAAAGUGAAUGUAGCUGUCUCUAGAGCGUAUCCCCAAAAUCAUAGCGGUAAAUCGGUAAGAGACAUCAUAGACCGCACCAUAUCCAAUAGAGUGCGAUUACGACGUUCGGACACACCGUUUCGCUGAGGUGUUCCAGGCGGCGUGAGUUGUGAAACGAUUCCACAUUUCCUUAAGUGUGUGCCAAAUUCGUGACUUAAAUAUUCUCCUCCACGAUCUGAUCGUAGGAAUUUUAUCUUUCGGUCACGUUGAUUCUCCACCUCAUUCUGAAAUUCCUUGAACUUUUCAAAGGUCUCAGAUUUGUGUUUCAGUAAGUAGACAUACCCAUAUCUACUUAAGUCAUCAGUGAGAGUGAGAACAUAACGAUAUCCUCCGCGAGCCUCAACGCUCAUUGGACCGCACACAUCGGUAUGUAUGAUUUCCAACAAGUUGGUUGCUCGCUCCAUUGUUUCGGAGAACGGAGUCUUGGUCAUUUUUCCCAUGAGGCAUGGUUCGCAUGUGUCAAAUGAUUCAUAAUCAAGAGACUCCAAAAGUCCAUCAGCAUGGAGCUUCUUCAUGCGCUUCACACCAAUGUGACCAAGGCGGCAGUGCCACAAGUAUGUGGGACUAUCGUUAUCAACUUUACAUCUUUUGGCAUCUACACUAUGAACAUGUGUAAUAUUACGCUCGAGAUUCAUUAAGAAUAAACCAUUGACCAUCGGAGCAUGACCAUAAAACAUAUCUCUCAUAUAAAUCGAACAACCAUUAUUCUCAUACUUAAAUGAGUAGCCAUCUCGUAUUAAACGAGAUCCAGAUACAAUGUUCAUGCUCAAACUUGGCACUAAAUAACAAUUAUUAAGGUUCAAAACUAAUCCCGUAGGUAAAUGUAGAGGCAGCGUGCCGACGGCGAUCACAUCGACUCUGGAACCAUUCCCGACGCGCAUCGUCACCUCGUCCUUCGCCAGUCUCUGUUUAUUCCGCAGCUCCUGCUGUGAGUUACAAAUAUGAGCAACGACACCGGUAUCAAAUACCCAGGAGUUACUACGAGUACUGGUAAGGUACACAUCAAUUACAUGUAUAUCAAAUAUACCUUUGGUGUUGCCGGCCUUCUUAUCCGCUAAGUAUUUGGGGCAGUUCCGCUUCGAGUGACCCUUCCCCUUGCAAUAAAAGCACUCAGUCUCAGGCUUGGGUCCAUUCUUUGACUUCUUCCCGGCAACUGGCUUACCGGGCGCGGCAACCUCUUUGCCGUCCUUCUUGAAGUUCUUUUUACCCUUGCCCUUCUUGAACUUAGUGGUCUUAUUGACCAUCAACACUUGAUGUUCUUUGUUGAUUUCAACCUCUGCUGACUUCAGCAUAGAAAAUACUUCAGGAAUGGUCUUUACCAUCCCCUGCAUAUUGUAGUUCAUCACAAAGCUCUUGUAGCUUGGUGGGAGCGACUGAAGGAUUCUGUCAAUGACUGCCUCAUCAGGGGGGUUAAUAUUCAGCUGGGUCAUAUGGUUGUGCAACCCAGACAUCUUGAGUAUGUGCUCACUGACAGAACUAUUUUCCUCCAUCUUACAACUAUAGAACUUGUCGGAGAUGUCAUAUCUCUCGACCCGGGCGUGAGCUUGAAAAACUAGUUUCAGCUCUUCGAAUAUCUCAUAUGCUCCGUGAUGCUCAAAACGCUUUUGGAGCCCCGGUUCUAAGCUGUAAAGCAUGCCGCACUGAACGAGGGAGUAAUCAUCAGCACGAGACUGCCAAGCAUUCAUAAUGUCUUGGUUCUCUGGGACGGGAGCGUCACCUAGCGGUCCUUCUAGGACAUAUUGUUUCCUGGCAGCUAUGAGGAUGAUCCUCAGGUUUCGGACCCAGUCCGUAUAGUUGCUGCCAUCAUCUUUCAGCUUGGUUUUCUCUAGGAACACGUUGAAGUUCAUGUUGACAUGAGCGUUGGCCAUUUGAUCUACAAGACAUAUUUGCAAAGGUUUUAGACUAAGUUCAUGAUAAUUAAGUUCUAAUCAAAUUAUGAACUCCCACUUAGAUUAGACAUCCCUCUAGUCAUCUAAGUGUUACACGAUCCGAGUCGACUAGCCCGUGUCCGACCAUCACGUGAGACGGACUAGUCAUCGUCGGUGAACAUCUUCAUGUUGAUCGUAUCUUCCAUACGACUCGUGUUCGACCUUUCGGUCUCCGUGUUCCGAGGCCAUGUCUGCACAUGCUAGGCUCGUCAAGUUAACCCUAAGUGUUUUCGCUGUGUAAAACUGUCUUACACCCGUUGUAUGUGAACGUAAGAAUCCAUCACACCCGAUCAUCACGUGGUGCUUAGAAGCGACGAACUGUAGCAACGGUGCACAGUUAGGGGAGAACACUUCUUGAAAUUUUGUAAGGGAUCAUCUUAUUUACUACCGUCGUCCUAAGUAAACAAGAUGCAUAAAACAUAAUAAACAUCACAUGCAAUUAUAUAAAGUAGUGACAUGAUAUGGCCAAUAUCAUAUAGCUCCUUUGAUCUCCAUCUUCGGGGCUCCAUGAUCAUCUUGUCACCGGCAUGACACCAUGAUCUCCAUCAUCAUGAUCUCCAUCAUCGUGUCUUCAUGAAGUUGUCAUGCCAACGACUACUUCUACUUCUAUGACUAACGCGUUUAGCAAUAAAGUAAAGUAAGUUACAUGGCGUUCUUCAAUGACACGCAGGUCAUACAAAAAUAAAGACAACUCCUAUGGCUCCUGCCGGUUGUCAUACUCAUCGACAUGCAAGUCGUGAAUCCUAUUACAAGAACAUGAUCUCAUACAUCACAAUUCAUCAUUCAUCACAACUUCUGGCCAUAUCACAUCACAUGAUCAAUCGCUGCAAAAACAAGUUAGACGUCCUCUAAUUGUUGUUGCAUCUUUUACGUGGCUGCAAUUGGGUUCUAGCAAGAAUGUUUUCUUACCUACGAAUAACCACAACGUGAUUUUGUCAACUUCUAUUUACCCUUCAUAAGGGCCCUUUUCAUCGAAUCCGCUCCAACUAAAGUGGGAGAGACAGACACCCGCCAGCCACCUUAUGCAACUAGUGCAUGUUAAUCGGUGGAACCGGUCUCACGUAAGCGUACGUGUAAGGUUGGUCCGGGCCGCUUCAUCCCACAAUACCGCUGAAGCAAGAAAAGACUAGUAGAGGCAAGCAAGUUGACAAGAUCCACGCCCACAACAAAAUUGUGUUCUACUCGUGCAAAGAGAACUACGCAUAGACCUAGCUCAUGAUGCCACUGUUGGGGAACGUUGCAGAAAAUUAAAAUUUUUCCUACGGUUUCACCAAGAUCCAUCUAUGAGUUCAUCUAAGCAACGAGUCAAGGGAGAGAGUUUGCAUCUACAUACCACUUGUAGAUCACGAGCGGAAGCUUGUCAAGGGGAUGGUGAUGAUGGAGUCGUACUCGAACGUGAUUCGGAUCACCGAUGUCCAAGUGCUGAACGGACAGCACCUCCGCGUUCAACACACGUACGGGACGGGAGACGUCUCCUCCGUCUUGAUCCAGCAAGGAGGAAGGAGAGGUUGAGGAAGGCAGCUCCAACGGCAGCACGACAGCGUGGUGUAGUUGGUGCAGCAGUACUCCGACAGAGCUUCGCCAAGCACGUACGGAGGAGGAGAGGUGUUGGGGAGGGGAGGGGCUGCGCCUUGAGUUUUGGUGUGUUGCAGCCCUCCCCUCACCCCUCUAUAUAUAGGGGAAGGGGCAAGGGGGGCCGGCCCUCUAGGGAAAACCCUAGGGGGGGCGGCGGCCAAGGGGUGGGGGGCUUGCCCCCCAAGCAAGGGGGGUGCGCCCCCUUUAGGGUUUCCCCCCCAACCCUAGGCGCAUGGGCCCAAGGGGGGGGGGGCGCCAAGCCCACUAGGGGCUGGCUGCUACCCCUAUGCAGCCCAAGUGGCCCCCCGGGAGGGGUGGUCCCUCCCGGUGGACCCCCGAACCUUUUCGGUGGUCCCGGUACAAUACCGGUAUGACCCCGAAACUUUCCGGUGCCCGUUUAACAACUUCCCAUAUAUAAAACUUUACCUCCAGACCAUUCCGGAACUCCUCGUGACGUCCGGGAUCUCAUCCGGGACUCCGAACAACAUCCGGUAAUCACAUACUUGUCUUCCUAAUAACCCUAGCAUCACCGAACCUUAAGUGUGUAGACCCUACGGGUUCGGGAGACAUGCAGACAUGACCGAGACUCUCCGGUCAAUAACCAAUAGCGGGAUCUGGAUACCCAUGUUGGCUCCCACAUGCUCCUCGAUGAAGUCAUCGGAUGAACCACGAUGUCGAGGAUUCGAUCAAACCCCAUAUACAAUUCCCUUUGUCAAUCGGUACGUUACUUGCCCGAGACUCGAUCGUCGGUAUCCCAAUACCUUGUUCAGUCUCGUUACCGGCAAGUCACUUUACUCGUACCGUAAUGCAUGAUCCCGUGGCCAACACCUUGGUCACCUUGAGCUCAUUAUGAUGAUGCAUUACCGAGUGGGCCCAGAGAUACCUCUCCGUCAUACGGAGUGACAAAUCCCAGUCUCGAUCCAUGUCAACCCAAUAGACACUUUCGGAGAUACCUGUAGUGCACCUUUAUAGUCACCCAGUUACGUUGUGACGUUUGAUACACCCAAAGCAUUCCUACGGUAUCCAGGAGUUACACGAUCUCAUGGUCGAAGGAAGAGAUACUUGACAUUGGAAAAGCUCUAGCAAACGAACUAACCGACCUUUGUGCUAUGCUUAGGAUUGGGUCUUGUCCAUCACAUCAUUCUCCUAAUGUUGUGAUCCCGUUAUCAACGACAUCCAAUGUCCAUAGCCAGGAAACCAUGACUAUCUGUUGAUCACAACGAGCUAGUCAACUAGAGGCUUACUAGGGACAUAUUGUGGUCUAUGUAUUCACACGUGUAUUACGAUUUCCGGAUAAUACAGUUAUAGCAUGAAUAAAAGACUAUUAUCAUGAACAAAGAAAUAUAAUAAUAACACUUUUAUUAUUGCCUCUAGGGCAUAUUUCCAACAAUUCCUAGUCUUGCAUUUAAUACUAGCUUAGUUGUUGUAUGAUGGUCUUGUUUUUCUGGUCAUGGGCAUAGUUAAGUGUGACAAUGAUGCUGAGAACAUUUGAGGUAACGAUGUUGGAAGAACACUCAUAUUGCCAUGACCCAAGUUGUAUCUUUUACUAAGAGAUGAUAUUGUCACAAGUCUAUAGUCCAUGAAACGGGAAGUUAACAUAUGCACAAUUCGUUAGACCAUGAGAGUAUAGAGUCACUCCAUACCGGAUGAUGCACUUUGGGGUUAUUCUGAUGUCAGUUGUAACAGGGUGAUCAUAACAGCAUCUUGCAUGUUCAUCGGAAACAUAUGAUGGGGAACUAGAUAGAUCGAGACUCGGAUUUUGUUCCUGUGACGAUGGAGAGAUUUUUUUAGGGGCCUUCGGUGUGACGACAUCUAUCAUCAUCAGGUAUAGUGAGAAUGUAUUUGACUCACGGGGAUACUGAUAUAUAUCACCUCAGGUUUUGUAAAUUAUCGCAAAGCAAAAUGAAUAUCAUAUGGUAGCUACAGGUCCAGUCGAUAAACAUUUGUGUGAGUAUAGGGGUCAAUAUGGAUGUCCAUAGUUCCGCUAUUGAUCAUUGGUCGAAAGUUUUUUCGGUCAUGUAUGUGUUUCACCAAACCUACAAGCUCACAUACUUAAGAACCUUUGAUUUGUUGAGUUCUAAUUGAGUUGGGAGUAUUGGAGUAUAUCACCAAAAAAAUUUCGGAGAUAACGGAAAUUAUUGUGCGAGAGAACCAGAAGUGUUUCGGGGAAAUCAGAAGCAGUUCAGAGAAAACCAAAUAAAACUGGAUAGGUGUGAAAGAUCUGGAGGAUGUAAUACUAGUAUAUGAGGGUUCCAGUAUUUAUAUGGAGCCCCUCAGGAUUAUUCUAGGCACCGUGGGCUGCCCAAAUAGACUAAAGCCUAUUAGGGCGCAGCCACAUAGGCCUAAAGGCCCAUAUAUGUGGUGCCCCCCAAGCUAGAGGGUGGUGGGGCGGCACCCCCUUGGCCGUCGCCACAAGGGGAAGCCCCCUCCUCCAACUUGGCCUCGCCCCUCCACCUAUAUAUACCCAUGGGGCGCCCCCUACUGAGACACAAGUUCUCUCGCGAUCUGCGGUGUCCCCCUCUCUAGUUCUCCACCAUAGCUCUUCUCGCGAAGGGCUGCUCCUCCCUCCUUUUCUAUUCUGGCAUCAUCAAGCCCCAGACGAGGAAGCACUGCCAGAUCUCUGGUGUUGAACAUGUGCAAUGCACAGAGGGGCCGUACGUCCGGUUCUUGUUUGAGGGAUCUGUUCGUGAGACUUCAAGAACACGAUCUUCACAAACUCUUUUUCCGUUGCAACUUGUUGUUGGUAAAGAUCUAACCUUGUAUGUAUGUCUUCAUAGUGAUCCUAGUUUUGUUUCAUAGGACAUUUUUUUCUAUACUACGAUGCCCAACAAUAUGAGGACCAUGCUACAAUGCCUUUUUUGGCCAAAAUCAUAAUUAUUGGAAGUUAUUAUGGCAAAUCUGCUAGAGUUGCUCUUAGACGUGCCUCGUAAGUCUCUCAUGUGCUUAGACCUGUGGAGGUAGUAAUCGACAUGUAUGGUCACACAAGUUUUCCCACUACACAAUCACAUUGUGGGCCCCACGUAGGACGUACAUUUUCUAUUUUUUGUGAAAUUUUCCAAAAUUCUAUAAUUUCAAAAUUUUGAAAUAUUUUUUGAAGUUCAAAAUUUUGUAAGUUCAAAGUAUUCUAAAAGAUCAAAUUUUGAAAGUGAAACGUUUGAAAAUUAUUUAAAAAAAUUCAAAUUACGAUUGUCAAAAUUUUGGAAGUUGAAAGACUUGGAGCAGUCGCGACGUCCAUGAUCGAGCUCGGCUGUUGGUCGUCCGCCUCUUGCACGCAACUCCAACGCACAUCCGCUCUGGUGCUCACCUCCACGUCGAUCGUCGGCUCCACGCUACCUUGCAUGUGAUUCGAACCGCCGCGUCAUCGGUGGAAGCACCUCGCGACACCAAUGGCCACUACGCCAGAUCAUGCGCCAGCUCCACCACAUCCCGCAUGGCACGGCAUGGAAAAAAAUCUUACCAUCGCAAGAGUUUUGCCUGACUAUGUCCUACAGGGACGACAAGAGAGGAAUGAAGGAGCCGGUUGUACGGGUGAGUUGCUAGUUUGGGGCGCCAAAUUAGGGUAUCUUUUCUCAAAACGAGGGAAAUAGAAAUACGAAGGAUUUUACUGACAUGUCCUCUUGAAUCCUACAGGAUUAGAAAACUACAGGAAUUCAGAUAAAAGAGUGUUUGAUGAAGUGAGGCGUUUUGGAGGCCGAGCUCCAUGCAGCCUUUUAUUUUUGAAUCUAUUUUUCAAAAAAUUGAACUUUUCGGUUUUAAAAAAAUCUGGAAAAUUUUAUGCAAGUAUACAAAGAUGAAAUGUAUAUGUGUGUAAAAAUUCAGAAUGAAAAACCUUGAGAUGCGACCUGUGCAGAAAAUACAAAUUUGUUGUCUUUGAGGAUUAAUAGUAUCAUGUGUUGAAAAACCUCAUAUUUGUUUGUUUUACAGAGGCCUCAUUUCAACAUAUUUUGUCCUGAAAAUUUACACACAUGUAUAUUAUGCCUUCAUGUCUAUGUGUGUUUUUUCAUAAUUUUUAAAAUCUAGAAAUAUGAAUUUUGAUGAAAUUUCAGAAAUGCUUUUGGAGGCCUGCAUGGAGCUCGGCCUCCAAAAGGCAUUUUUGUGUUUGAUAUCACUAUAAAGAAAAUGAAUUAUACACAGAGAUUUGAGUGGAUGCACUUUUUUCUCCAAAAUAAAGUGCAAAUGAAUUCUAAGAAAACUUGCUAACAUUUCAAUAUACUAUGAAUCAAACAGCCAACACAGAAAAAAAAAUCCCUACGAUCUAAAUUCUCUAAAAAUCCUACAAAACUCUUUUGGAUCAAACCCCCAGCUCAGCCUGUCAUAUGCUUCGUGUACUUACUUUCGUUGUCGUCACAUGUCGACACUUUCGAUCUGCUAAGCAAUACCACUUUUGCAAACGAAAAGAAGAGCGAUCACAUGUUUUUGGGGAAGUGUCUUCUUCACUCUAGUAGGCAGCCACCUGUCGGCCCACUCAUGCGAGCACACGUAGCGCCCUGCCCGGCGAUUUGUCCAUCUGACCACCCCUCUUUAUGGGCUAGUCGGCACUCACCUGCCCAUCCACUCACGAGAGCACACCUGGAGCUUCGUCCACCCUCGAACGGCCUAUAAAUAGUGCCUCGUGCUGCACCUGCUUUACACAACCACUUGCUUCACACAACCAAGACAAGUAAACAGCAGCACUAGUAGAUUUCCCGAGUGACAAGUUCAGCGCAACAUGGAGCACCAGGGACACGGCACCGGCGAGAAGAAGGGCAUCAUGGAGAACAUCAAGGAGAAGCUCCCCGGUGGCCAAGGUGACCACCAGCAGACCGCUGGCACCCACGGGCAGCAUGGACACACUGGAAUGACAGGCACGGAGAUGCAUGACACCACGGCCACCGGCGGCACCCAUGGGCAGCAGGGGCUUACCGGAACGACUGGCACUGGGACACACGGCACCGGUGAGAAGAAGAGCCUCAUGGACAAGGUGAAGGAGAAGCUGCCUGGACAGCACUAAGCUCGGUCUGUCCACGGCCGCCACCUUUGCAGAAUAAUACUCCACCGUAUAUGAAUUGAUCUGAGUCUAGUUCACCUAGCUCACUUGGUCGUUGGAGGAGCAAAUAUAUCUCUGGUUUAAGUUUUCACGGACAACAGUGUGUUCACAGUUUUCGUCUAUUUACACUCCGUCAUGCAAAUUUCCUUUUUGUUCCUUUUCUUUUGUCCAUCUUAUUAUCCGACAGGCUUUUGUAACUUAAUAUAAGACGUCUUUUGACAAUAUGACUGUCAAAGAAGUCCUAUGUUAAGUUACAGAGGGAGUACUUCGGAGCGGUAAAAGAAAUGAUAGCUUUGUGUUGCACUGUUGCAGGACUUUCCUAGUGGCAUAACAGAUUUCGAACUCUUCUUUAGAAUAACCCCUUCUCCAUUCCUCGAAACAAGCCUGUGAUCAGGUUCAGUUUUACAACGUUCAAAACAAAACAAGCACACUCUUGUCUUAGCUUUGAUGCAAAACAUAGUUUGUUCUUCUCGGUGAUGCUGAUUCCUUGUAAGAUCUGUAUGCUCUGAGAGUAGACAGUGCACACACUCCCUGAAGGUGCUGUUGUGUGUGGAUAGGAACUGGGACGUGGAGAUAGGGUCGGCUGCGUUGCGCUUGAAUCAUACAGCCUUCGAUAACUGACAUGGCUAGAAGUCACGUGCAAGAGUAGGAUGAAAAAAGUGCCUAUAAAUUGUUUCAGAUUUUUUUUGUGGUGCCUUGUUUAUUUAUUUAGAAAGCAAAUCAUAUGCUGCUCUGCUAUGAGAUUAUUGCAUGAACAGAUAAACCUAUCUUUUAUUUUGAAGUUUAUAUGUAUGUAUGGUGGCAGCCUUUUAAGUUUUCGGUGGAGACCAGAUCAUUGAGAUCGAUAUUUUUUCCUCCUUUUGGGUGAUCUCUUCUUGCUUCUGCUUUGGCUAACUAGCAUUCAUCCACUGUGAAUCCCCAACCUGCAUUUAAAUACUGCACUGAAACCGUCUAUGGUCUGGCAGAUCAAGUUUGUUCGACCUCACAUAUGAAUUCUGUUUUCUACAGUGUAUAAAUAUACCUUGUAUGGUUCAGAUUUUUUAAUAUGCAAAACAAUAUAUGGAAUUAUAGCCCCUCUCAUGACUGUAAGAUAUAUAUUCGUUGAUCAUUUGUAUGAAGGAAANNNNNNNNNNNNNNNNNNNNNNNNNNNNNNNNNNNNNNNNNNNNNNNNNNNNNNNNNNNNNNNNNNNNNNNNNNNNNNNNNNNNNNNNNNNNNNNNNNNNNNNNNNNNNNNNNNNNNNNNNNNNNNNNNNNNNNNNNNNNNNNNNNNNNNNNNNNNNNNNNNNNNNNNNNNNNNNNNNNNNNNNNNNNNNNNNNNNNNNNNNNNNNNNNNNNNNNNNNNNNNNNNNNNNNNNNNNNNNNNNNNNNNNNNNNNNNNNNNNNNNNNNNNNNNNNNNNNNNNNNNNNNNNUUAGGAAUUUGUGUGAAUCUUACGUUGACUGGAUAAUGCAAAUUCCACUAGUGCUCUUCUAAUUCACAUGGUUACAUGCUUCGACAGCCCUCCUAUCCAAACAGAAAACAAAGUGAGUGGCUAAUUGCAAGUCACCUGAAAACUUAAACUGGGCCAUCAGCUGAUUUGGCAGGAUUUUGAGCCGUUGGAUAGAAAAUGAACGGUUCAGCUCACGUCUUCUUCCUCCAACUGCUCUUCUUCCUAGAAAACGGAUCACUAUCUCCCCCUCCCCUCUUUUUUUUUUUGGAAAAAGUGGUCAUCCCCGGCCUCUGCAUCGGAAAGAUGCAUGCGGCCACUUUAUUAAAAAGCCGACAGUAACAAAGUCUGAUCUGCAUAGUACUGCCCACAAAAGGAACAAAGCAAAAAUAAAGAGUACAAGUCUCAAAGCCACAUCCGGCUGGACGAGGAUACACCAAGGACCUAUCCUAUGUAGUGAUCGCCAUCCAAACCGGUUGAAAAAAAUCCGUGCUGCCAUCUCCCAUCGGUUGCACCCAGUAGCCAGCUGCUCCCGGGAGGCCGUAGGAGUGAGUAAUGACCACAUACGGAUCCAUGCCGUAGCCUGGAAUAUGACCUGCAAAAAAUUAAUCAUAAGUUUUCUGUUAAAAAUCACCGUUCGAGCAGUGAUCCCCCCUCCCCCCUGCCGCCUACUACCACCGUUCGAGCUGCCGCCCUCGGCCGAGGUGCUCCGGCGCCAGCCUCGUCCCCCUCCCCAACCACCGCCCUCUGCCAAUCUCUAAUUCCGGCGCUGACCUUUUUCCGGCAAACUUGCACCACCCCUAAGAUAGAUAUGGGAGUCUUAUCUGGCGAGCUCCUCCCUUCCCUCCAACUGUUCCUUUCUUCACAUGAAAAUCGACUAGCCCAAAUUCCAAAUUUAGGCGACUUACAUACAACUAUUGUGGAAAACAAUAUAUGUUUACACUAGGAAUGGUUUCCCUAGUUUUGUUAUUUUUCAAACCUUUUAUUAAUAAUAUGGCCGCAUGCAUCUUUCAGAUGCAGAGGCGGGGGUGAGCCUCCCUUUUCCAAAAAAAAGAGGAAUCGUUUCCCUUGUAACCAUUAUUAUGGUCUGUGCACAGUAAUAUACAAGGUGAUCUUAUUAUAGGUGGAGUCUACAUGGUUUCCCCCACAAAAGAAGGAGAGUCUACAUGGUUUCCAAACAGGACCAUAGUGCUGGCAAACGUGGAAUAGAAAACGAAUGAUUGUAGUCACAUCUCCUGAAUCCAACGAAUUAGAAAACUACAUGAAUUUGAUUGAAAGAGUGUUUGAUAUAUCCCUAUAAAAGCGAAGGAAUUCUAUAAUGAGAUUUCGUGGGUGCACACUUUUCUCUAGAAUAAAGUGCAAAUGAAUUCUAAGGAAAACUACCGGGCAUUUCACUCAUCUGAAUCAAACAACCAAUAUAGAAAAUUUUCCCAUGAUAUAAAUACUCUAAAAAAAUAUAAAAUUCUUUUGAAUCAAAACCUCAGCCUCUACUACGUAAUAAUAUGGUUGUGUGCACAUAGCUCGAUGCAAAACUGAGGCUUGCUCCCCAUUGCAAGAAAAAAAAAGUCUUACCCUCUUUUAUGCUUCGUCAAGUUACUUUCGUUGUCGUCACACGCCAACACUUUCAAUCUACACUCACCGUCCCAUAAUAUAAGAGCAUUUUGAGACGGAGAGACGGAGAGACGGAGGGAGUAAUAACGUUCUUAUAGGAGUAUUAUAAAUGGAGGGAGUAUCAUCUUCAUAAGCAAACAAUACCAUUUUCGCAAGAGAAAAGAAGGAUGGGAUGAUGAUUUUGGAGAAUCAUCUUCUUCCCGGACGAGGACGAGUGAGCUGGGACGUGGCGACCGGGACGCGCCAACUGCAUGCCCAUCAGAGGCCCGGCUCCUCUAGUCGGCAGCCACUGACGCGACCACACGUAGCGCCCAGCCGCGGCGAUUCGUCCAUCUGACCACCCUCUUUAUGGGCUAGUCGGCACUCACCUGCCCGUCCACACGCGAGCGCAUUCUGUGCAGCUUGGUCAUUUUUAUGUUUGGUUUCUCUGCGGCCUUCUUCUCAAAUGUAGAAUUGUGUGCUUCCUUGCGGUUUAGAGUUGCGCAUUUGCUCGUUGAUAAAUCAUGUAGCCUCAUUCUGAAUGUUGGGACAAAACUGUAACGUUAUGUGUGUGUAACGCAACCAUUAUUUUCAAGCGUGUGCGAUGGAAGUAAUGCUUUGAAAAGAAGUAUAUACUUGUCUGAAUGUUUGUUCUUGUCCUCCCUUGCAAAGAUGGUAGCGCCAUACUCUGCCAUGUUACCACUAGCUAGAGCGCGAAGAACUUGCAGGAACACGAUUUACUGAAGACAUUUCGAAAUGUCUUGGCCACAGGGGUGCGUUAUCGCGUGAUGUUUGCGUCCGGGAUGUCAAAUAACAACAAGGUAAGACGGCAUUAGGAGAAAAUGAAGAUUUCACCCGGCCGAGACGACCAAACGUAUCUCCGCACCCCAUCAUUCUGAUUCUGAAUCGUUAGUGUUAGCAGCCCUGGCUCCAUUACUCGAAAGAAGCCUGUGAUCACGUUCAAUUUUACAACGUUGUAUGAAAACAAAAGAAGCGCUCCGCAGCAAGAAAGUGCUCUUUUUUAUCCCGAGCUCACAUGCUCCCCGAUGAACAAUACAAUCCGAAAAAUUAAUAAAUUAAAUUCAAAAAAUUCUGAAUUUCUUUUUGUGAUAAGCAUUGAUGGAAGUUUUAACAUCCUGCAAAUUUUCGUGAUGAGGUACGCUGGAGGCAGCCCUUUCAGUUUUCAGUGGAGAACAGAUCAUUGAGAUCGAUUUUCUCCCCACUUUUGGGUGAUCUGUUCUUACUUCUGCUUUGGCUCACUAGCAUGCAUCUAAUGGAAUCCCCAACCUGCAUUUAAAUACUGCACUGAAACUAUCUAUAGCUUAGCAAAUCAAGUUUGUUUGAUGCAAAAAUUCUGAGGAUGUUACUCUCUGCUAUUGUCUUUGCAAAUUGCCUGCUUCACAGUUUUGAUUUCAUUGUGGUUGUGAUUCUUUACUGCUAAAAUACGAGGGAUAGUAGUGACAUGUCCUGAAUCCUAUGAAUUAUAAAACUACAUGAAUUCAAAUGAAAGAGUGUUUGAUAUAUCCCUACAAAAGCAAUGGAAUUCUGCAUAGAGAUUUUAGUGGAUGCGCGUUUUUCUCCAAAAUGAAGUGCAAAUGAAUUCCAAGGAAAAUCACCAAGCAUUUCAGUCCUAUGAAUGAAAUAGGCAACAUAGAAAAAUCCCUAGGAUCUAAAUCAGUCAAAAAAUCCUACUGUAUAAAAUCAUUUUGAAUCAAAGCCCUUAACCUCUCGUAUGCUUCGUCUAGUUACUCUCGUAGCCUCAUUGUCGUUAUAUGCCGACACUUUCGAUCUUCAUCCUCUUAAGCAAACAAUUCAUUUUCUUUUGCAAGAGAAAAGAAGGGUCAGAUGUUUUUGGGGAAUCAUCUUCUUCCCGGACGAGGACGAAUGAGCUGGGACGCGCCGACCGGGACGAAUGAGACGGACGUGGCGACCGGGACGCGCCGACUGGCUUGAGAGGCCCGGCUCCUCUAGUCGGCAGCCACCUGCCGACCCACUGACGCGACCACACGUAGCGCCCUGCCGCGGCGAUUCGUCCAUCUGACCAGUGACCACCCCUCAUUAUGGGCUAGUCGGCACUCACCUGCCCAUCGACUCACGAGAGAACACGUCGUGCUUCGUCUAUCCUCUAACGGCCUAUAAAUAGUGCCUCAUGCAGCACCUGCUUCACACAACCACCUGCUCCAAGUGAACAACACCACUAGUAGAUUUCCCGAGUGACAAGUUCGGCGCUGGAUGGAGCACCAGGGACACGGCACCGGCGAGAAGAAGAGCAUCAUGAGCAAGAUCAAGGAGAAGCUCUCCAGCAGCCACGGUGAUCACCAGCCGGCCGCUGCCACCCACGGGCAGCAGGGACACACCACUGCGGGGACGCAUGGCACCCCGGUCACCGAUGGUGCCUACGGGCAGCACGGACACACCGGAGCCACCGGCACGGGGAUGCACGGCGCCGACACCGGCGAGAAGAAGGGCGUCGUGGAGAACAUCAAUGACAAGCUCCCUGGUGACCAUGAGGACCAUCAGCAGACUGGUGGCACCAACGGUCAACAGGGACAUACUGUCGCGGCGACGCAUGGCGCCUCAGCUACCGGUGGCACCUAUGGCCAGCAGGGAAACACCGGUAUGGGGACACAUGGCACCCCGGCCACCGAUAGUGCCUCCAGGCAGCACAAACACACUGGGUCCACCGGCACGGGGAUGCACGACACCGACAUCAGCGAGAAGAAGGGCGUCAUGGAGAACAUCAAUGAAAAGCUCCCUGGUGGCCAUGGGGACCACCAGCAGACUGGUGGAACCUACGGGCAGAAGGGACACAUGACCGCGGCGACGCAUGGCGCCUCAGCCACCGGCGCCCCGGCCACUGAUGGUGCCUACGGGCAGCAUGGACACACCAGGGCCACCGGUACAGGGAUGCACGGCGUCGACACGGGCGAGAAGAAGGGCAACAUGGAGAACAUCGAUGACAAACUCCCUGGUGGACAUGGGGACCACCAGCAAACUGCUGGCACCCACGGCCAUCAGGGACACAUCGCUGCGACGACGCAUGGCGCCUCGGCCACCGACGACACGUAUGGGCAACAGGGAAACACCAGCNNNNNNNNNNNNNNNNNNNNNNNNNNNNNNNNNNNNNNNNNNNNNNNNNNNNNNNNNNNNNNNNNNNNNNNNNNNNNNNNNNNNNNNNNNNNNNNNNNNNNNNNNNNNNNNNNNNNNNNNNNNNNNNNNNNNNNNNNNNNNNNNNNNNNNNNNNNNNNNNNNNNNNNNNNNNNNNNNNNNNNNNNNNNNNNNNNNNNNNNNNNNNNNNNNNNNNNNNNNNNNNNNNNNNNNNNNNNNNNNNNNNNNNNNNNNNNNNNNNNNNNNNNNNNNNNNNNNNNNNNNNNNNNNNNNNNNNNNNNNNNNNNNNNNNNNNNNNNNNNNNNNNNNNNNNNNNNNNNNNNNNNNNNNNNNNNNNNNNNNNNNNNNNNNNNNNNNNNNNNNNNNNNNNNNNNNNNNNNNNNNNNNNNNNNNNNNNNNNNNNNNNNNNNNNNNNNNNNNNNNNNNNNNNNNNNNNNNNNNNNNNNNNNNNNNNNNNNNNNNNNNNNNNNAUCAGCGAGAAGAAGGGCGUCAUGGAGAACAUCAAUGAAAAGCUCCCUGGUGGCCAUGGGGACCACCAGCAGACUGGUGGAACCUACGGGCAGAAGGGACACAUGACCGCGGCGACGCAUGGCGCCUCAGCCACCGGCGCCCCGGCCACUGAUGGUGCCUACGGGCAGCAUGGACACACCAGGGCCACCGGCACAGGGAUGCACGGCGUCGACACGGGCGAGAAGAAGGGCAACAUGGAGAACAUCGAUGACAAACUCCCUGGUGGACAUGGGGACCACCAGCAAACUGCUGGCACCCACGGCCAUCAGGGACACAUCGCUGCGACGACGCAUGGCGCCUCGGCCACCGACGACACGUAUGGGCAACAGGGAAACACCAGCACGGGGACACAUGCCGCGCCGGCCACCGAUGGUGCCUAUGGGCAGCAUGGACACACCGGGGCCACCGGCACGGGGAUGGAUGGCGCCGACAUAGGCGAGAAGAAGGGCGUCAUGGAGAACAUCAAUGACAAGCUCUCUGGUGGCCACGGGGACCACCAGCAGACUGGUGGCACCUACGAGCAGCAGGGACACACCGAUGCGGCGACGCAUGGCGCCUCAGCCACCAGCGGCACCUAUGGGCAGCAGGAAAACACCGGUACGGGGACACAUGGUGCCCCUGCCACCGAUGGCGCCUACGGGCAACACAGACACACCGGGGCCAUCGGGACGGGGUUGCAUGGUGCCGACACGGGCGAGAAGAAGGGCGACAUGGAGAACAUCGAUGACAAACUCCCUGAUGGACAUGGGGACCACCAGCAAACUGCUGGCACCUACGGCCAUCAGGGACACACCGCUGCGGCGACGCAUGGCGCCUCGCCCACCGACGACACGUAUGGGCAGCAGGGAAGCACCAGUACGGGGACACAUGCCGCGCCGGCCACCGAUGGUGCCUAUGGGCAGCACGAACACACCGAGGCCACCGGCACGGGGAUGCACGGCGCCGACAUAGGCGAGAAGAAGGGCGUCAUGGAGAACAUCAAUGACAAGCUCUCUGGUGGCCAUGGGGACCACGAGCAAACUGGUGGCACCUACGGGCAGCAGGGACACACCGAUGCGGCGACGCACGGCGCCUCAACCACCAGCGGCACCUAUGGGCAGCACGAAAACACCGGUACGGGGACACAUGGUGCCCCUGCCACCGAUGGCGCCUAUGGGCAGCAUGGACACACCGGGGCCAUCGGGACGGGGUUGCAUGGCGCCAACACGGGCGAGAAGAAGGGCGUCAAGGAGAACAUCAAUGACAAGCUCCCUGAUGGCCGCGGGGACCACCAGCAGACUGGUGGCACCUACGGGCAACAGGAACACAUCGAUGCGGCGACGCAUGGUGCCUUAGCCACUGGCGGCACCAAUGUGCAGCAAGGAAACACCGGUACGGGGACACAUGGCGCCCCGGCCACCGAUGGUGCCUACGGGCAGCACAAACACACCGGAGCCACUGGCACGAGGAUGCAUGACACCGACACCAGCGAGAAGAAGGGCGUCAUGGAGAACAUCAACGACAAGCUGCCUAGUGGAGACGAAGACCACCAGCACACCGGUGGCACUUACGGUCAGCAGGGACAAACCGGCGCGGUGAUGCAUGGCCAGCAGGGACACACCGAAAUGACCGGCUGGGGGACACACGGCAACACUGAGAAAAAGGGCGUCAUGGACGACAUCAAGCCCAAGCUCCCCGGUGGCCACGAUGAUCGCCAGCAGACCGGCGACACCUAUGAACAGCAGCGACACACCGACACUGCAACACAUGGCACCCUUGCCACCGGUGACACCUAUGGGCAGCAGGGACACACCGACACGGGGACAUAUGGCACCGGCGAGAAGAAGGGCGCCAUGGGUAACAUCAAGGAGAAGCUCCCUGGUGGCCAUGGUGACCACCAACAGACUGGUGGCACCUACGGGAGCCAGGAAGACACCGAAAUGACUGGAAUGGGGAUGCAUAGCACCACAGCCACAGACGACACAGAUGGUCAGCAGGGACACACCCGAAUGACCGGCACAGUGGUACACGACACCGACGAGAGGAAGGGUGUCAUGGAGAACUUCAAGGAGAAGCUCCCCGACAGCCAUGACGACCACCAGCAGACUGCUCGCACCGACGGGCACCACGCCGGCACGGGGACGCAUGACACCCCGGCCACCGACGGCACCUAUGGGCAGCACGGACACACUAGAGUGACUGACACAGAGGCGUACAGCACAGGCGGCACAGGCGAGAAGAAGGGCAUCAUGAAGAACACCAAGGAGAAGCUCCCCGGUGGCCACAAUGACCGCCAGCAGACCGGUGACACCUUUGGGCAGCAAGGACACACCGACACGGCGACACAUGGCACCCCGUCCACUGGCGGCACCUACGGGCAGCACGAACACACCGGAGUGACCGAUAAGGGAACACAGGGCACCGGUGGCAUCGACAAGAAGAAGGAUGCCAUGGAGAACAUCAAGGAGAAGCUCCCCGGUGGUCAUGGUGACCACCAGCAGACCGCUGGCACCUACGGGCAGCAUGGACACACUGGAAUGACCGGCACGGAGACGCAUGGAACCACGGCCACCGACGGCGGGCAGCAAGGACACAACGAAACAACUGGCACUGGGACACACGGCACCGACGGGACCGGUGAGAAGAAGAGCUUCAUGGACAAGAUCAAGGAGAAGCUGCCUGGACUGAACUAAGCCCGGUCUGCCUACGGCCGCUACCUUUGCAGAAUAAUACUCCACCGCAUAUAAAUUGAUUGAGUCUAGUUCACCUAGCUCACUUGGUCGUUGGAGAAGCGAAUGUAUCUUGGUUUAAGUUUUCAUGGACAACAUGUGUUCACAGUUUUUUUUUCUUUUUAACAUUGUCGUGCAAAUUUCCUUCUGGUUCAACCCAUGUAUGUAUGCUAUGAUGCCUAUGGCAUCUAAUAUAUCAGUAUAAUAAAGUUACUAAGCUUCCAGAAAUUAGAGCCUCGUGGUUGAACGUGGCAUAUGAG